This 67953-nucleotide long non-coding RNA is filed under the name Glycine max (soybean). Its description in RNAcentral is "long non-coding RNA (GMAX_LNC004411)". The record is from RNAcentral. Lineage: Eukaryota; Viridiplantae; Streptophyta; Magnoliopsida; Fabales; Fabaceae.
UAUUCACAUGCACCAGUUAAGUACUUGGCGAAAAUUACAAACAUGUAACUCAUCAUAAAGCUAGUACUAGGUUACAAUGCCAAAAACGACAGGACCGUGUUCAAGAAGCAAGCAUAGUAAAGAAACAAAAACAACCCUUUAAAUUCAUCAUAAAAUAUAAUUUCAACACGUACAUGAUAAGACCAAUCAAACAUGAAUAGGAGCCAAUAUGCCUUGCAAUUCACUGCAUCAUAAAUGCCACAAUAGAAACCAACACAGAAGAACAUAAGGUCACCCCAGAAACAGACAAAGCAAACCCUGCACCAGUCUCCAUUUGCGAUGUGGGUGCAAUUUCUGAUUGUGCCACAGUUUUGGUCACGUAAAACGUGCUCAAAACCAUUGCUGCAAUAAAAAAAUGAGCUGCACAGUCUCCAAGUUUUGCCAUAUUUCCACAGAAUAUGUUAUGUUACUGUGAAAACGUGACCAAAGAGAUGACUGAAAAGGAUUGAACUGGUUUGGAAUUUUGAGUUGUUCAAUGACACAGUCAAGAGUUGAGUUUAUAUAUAUAGAACUUGUUAGGGGUAUUAGGUAUAUGUUAAAAAAGGCCAUCUGUGUCAAGUUGGUAAGUGGUACAUUAAAUCAUUAACCAUUCUCGAUUACUAUGAUGUCGUUUAGAUUAAGGCUUUUGAGUCCCCACUAGACUAAUUAAAGCUAGUCGAUGCAAGGUGGUAUUGUGUCCUCAAUGAGCUUCUUACGUUACAGUUUCAGGAGAAAUCUGGCACCCAACAUUUAUGAUACACCAGCUAAGAUUGGAUUUCUUAAACUCUGUCUGCAGAAGUUGUCAAUUUUUUUUUCAUUGAAAGAAUAAAAAAUUUAUAAUAACUCAUAAAUUUUGUUGAAUCAAUUAAGAGAAGUUUUCAAUUUGGACAUAUGAUUCCUGAAUAGUCGAUUAAAGGAAAAAAAUUAUUUACCUUGAUUAAAUUAUCUCGUAAAUUUCUUUUUAAAUCAAUGAUGCAUAUUAUAUCUUUAUAUUUUCGUUUUACACAUUGCUCAAUUUAAUUAGAAUAGUUAAAUCCCAAAUGUAAAAGGCGUUAAUAUUUACUUGGCAGGCUAUCUUUUCUUUAAUUAAUUGUAGCUGGUAGGAAAUCAUUUUCGGGCCAGCUUAAGUGCCCUUGACAUAGCAACGAUACCAAGACUUUUAGAGAGGACAAAUCUACGGUGCAAAUACGAUGUCUUUGUUGCUUCAUAAAGAGAAUAGUCUAGAAUUCUAGCUUCAUUUGGCAAUUGAGGAGGAUACAAUAGAGUGAUGGAAAGCAUCACACCAAUCAAGAUUAUUUUUUAUUGACUCUUGAGUACGAGACAUGUGUAGCUAUUUUAGAAAUGUAAGAAAUAUAAAAAGGACGGAACUAAAUCUAGAUCGUUUUGAACGAUGUAUGUCAGACAUCAGAGUCGACGAUAAAUCCAAGUAAUAAAUAUAAUCUGGUGACAAGUAAAUUCAAUUGCUUAUGUUGAAUGUAAUUCGUUUUUCUAAUUGAUUAACCAAAUAGAGAAAUCAAACAGGGACAUUAUUUUGACGUUGAAAUGAGGAUGUGUUUCUCACUUGUGCAACAAAAUAUGUCUGUCCUAAAUCAUUCGCAUUAUACAUUGUUCAUAUAUCAAUGAGCGUAUCAAUAAAGACGUUAGCUAUGUGGUUAUUGCUUCCUUCACUUUCAUUAUUGUUUUUUCUGCGCCUCAUUGCAUUCCGGAGGCACUUUCACUAUUGUUUCUUGUUAUGUCCCAUUGCAUUCCAUAAUUAAAAAGUUUUAGCCUUGCUAUGUCUAUGUCUGAAAUGUUAGAUUGGCUGAGUUCUCAUUUGAUUUUGGGCUUACUCUAGCUUGUUCGGCCUAGUCCGAAACAGGGAUUUGAAUCCUGCACUUCUGUAUCUACAUCCUACACCCCCACCCCAAGCAUCCUUGAAAUUACUUAACUAUCCUUGAUGAGAUAACACCUCUUUCCCCAAAUCUUAACACCUCCCUCCUUCUGAACUCAUUCUACCUUAACAUUGAAUUCCACAAGAGUCCUACUCCCACAAGCUUCCUCGCCUUCUCUCCAUCAUACUAAGCAAUUCUCUUUCAUGAGGGAGCAGCCUUAAUAUUUGUCAACGCCGCAACUGCACACCUCUGGUGGCUCCACAUGAAGUUAUAUCUCCCCUUCUUUUAAGCUUUUAUUUUUGCAAACCAACCAUUCCAGAAGACUAAUAGUGGAAAGUAAAUACAUAAUAGGUAUUCCGGAAGACAUUUUUUGCUUAUGAAAUAGUUAUUUUGGAACACAAAUUACUAAACAUGUUUCUGGAAUGGAUGUUCCAAAAGCAUAUUUUAUAUACUUCGAAAUUCCUAUUCCAUAAGACAAUUUGUGUUCCGAAAUGACUAUUCUGUAAGCAAAAAAGUCUUCUAAAAUACCUAUUCCAGAGUAAUAAAUAAAGGUCUUUCAGCAACAUGUUUGAUGAAGUCGACAUGGAUAUGGAUAAAAAUGUGGAUGAUACAAUUAAAAAUAAAGAUUGCAGCAAACUUUUUACAACUACGAAAGUAAUUUUAUCAUGUUAUUAUUGUGUAAUUAUUUAAUUGUUGAUAUAUUUAAUGCUUAAAAGGUGAACUUUGACUAAAAUAUAUUGUAUGUUGUUUAUGUAGAUUUUUCAUACUCAAGAUGAGUCAUUGAAAUAAGCUCGAACAAUUGCAUUUGAGUUGAAUUUUGUUUCGAAAUACAUGUUCCAGAACACCUAUUCCAAAUCUAAAGACCUUCCUUACUAGAACGCAACCCGCCACCAAAACCAAAACCCAACCCCUCACUAGAAACCAAAAGAAACAAAAGGAACUUACCUUGAAUGGCUACAUGCAAAGGAAGGAGGGUGCACGAAGAGUCGCAACAAGGAGGGUGCACGAAGAGUCGCAACAAGGAGGGUGCAAGCAAAACAAGGUGACACAGGAGAAGGAAGAGAUUCAUCGUGGGAAGAACAACAACCUUCACGGGAGGGAGACGCACCGUCACGUGAGCUACCGUCAUGGGUAGGAGGGGCAUCACGGGGAAAGGGUGUUAGUGUAUAUGAUUUAUGAAGAAAGGAGGAGUUAGGGUUGGAAAUGUGUUAUCUCAUUAAGGAUAAUUUAGUAAUUUUAAGAUGUUUGGGGGUGUAAGAUACAAAUAUGGAAAUGUAGGAUUCAAAUCCCUCUAGAACAAUAUCCAUCCCAAAAGAAAUCUAUUAGAUUUUUCUAGUCUUAUAGCAAUGCUUAUAAAAACACUAGUUAAAAAUUAAAAAUUUAAAACUUAAUGCUAAAUAUUUGCUUAAUACUAGGUAAAUCAAUAACAAAAUUGUCAAAUGAAAUGGUUAUCUUUAUAAUUCAACCUUCUUUUUUUCUGUCUUUUAAAGGUUGUUAUGUACUCAUUUCGUCUUUAAUCAUAAGACCAUUUCAACUAACUCACCUUCCUUAAGAAAAAUAGUUAAUUUAAUUAAUAACAUUAAACCUAUCAAUUAUUUGUAUCAUCUUUCCAAAGUUACCUUUUUCUUAUCUUUCUAUUCACUUAAUUACUUCUCAUUAAUGUUUGGAGAGAGAAUAAUUAAGUAAGGAUAUAUAGGGGAAAAUAAUUAAUGCAUUUAGAAAUUAGAAAAAAGAUAUUAUAAAAAGGGACAAACAAAUUUUAAAAAAAGGGCUUAUAGUUAGGGACAGAGGGAGUAAAAACUACAAAAUGCAAUAAAUUUUCUUGAUUCUAAUAAAAUAAUUGUGGAAUUUUCUAUAUUAUUAUUUUUCUUUCCACUUCACAAUAAAUAUAUGUGUAAAUCAAUUAAAGAUUAGAAGAUAAGAGUAUAAUUGAUAAAAGAGAAAUUAUAAUAUGAUCUUGAACUUUGCAAAUGAUAGAUAAAUGAGUAUUUUUUUUUCAGAAAUUUGACAAUUAAAAGGAACAAAAAGAAUAUAUCAUUCUUUAUUCUAAUUAAUAUCAAUAAUUGUAAUUAAUGAAAUUUCAUCUUUUUUUUUAGUGGAAAAUUCCAUCUUUAAUCAAACACUAUAAAUUUUGUUUUAUUUUUCAUUAGAAGUUCGUACUAACUUGUUAAUAUAUUAAAUUUGUUCCUUUAAGCACACCCUCUAAUAACUAAAAAUGGUAUAGAAAAAUAGGAACGAGAAGAACAAGAAAUAAUAAGCAUACAAUUAGCAACAGCUAUUAUAAUCUCAAUUUGUGUGGGCAUAUGAAUGGGUUCUUGGUUAAUUACAACAUUCUCUAAGCAAAACAUGAGGUUGACAGACCUUAUGUUCCUGAGUACAACACGUAUGAGAUUGACAAACCUUAUGUCCCUAAGUACAACACGUACGAUGUAUAUGAGACAAAACCAAUGAAGCAAACCCUGAAACCAUGCAAGACCAUGCAUUCACGACCGUUUCGCAAGCUAAGAAAAUAGUGGCAUUGUCCCAAAAUAACUCAAACCCCGUUCAUUUAAAGGCCAUGAAAGAGCCCCCGUUGCACGUCAGACCUGCAAGCAAAGACAAUUAAUAAAACAACACACACUUGUAUCAUCAGCACACCUGCGGGUCUCCAAAACAAGUCACACUUUACUCAUCAUGGACAUGAAGAAGAUCACUUGCGCUCUUCUCAUUGCCGCCACCUCCGUGAGCGCCGCGGUGGCUGCCACCGAGGUUCCAGCCUCGGCCCCUGGCCCCGGCCCAAGCAGCGGAGCCUCAGCUCCCCUUGUUGGCUCCUUGAUUGGUGCCUCUGUCUUGUCUUUCUUUGCCUUGUUCCAGUAAGAGUCACAUAUAUGGCAAGACACUGAUGGAAGAAGACUUUAUACGUAUAUGGAAUAAUAAAGGGUGCUGCAGGGAAUAAUUAAUGAAGAAAAUUGCUAUAAAUGUAUAUGUAUUAUAUAUUGUUAUGAUAAUUUUUUAAUGAAAUACUAAUUUGUUUCGUAAUUUUAUUUUAUCUUCUUUUCUUGUGUACAAAUGCUUUCCUUUCUUAUGCAUCUUAAUUACGUAUAGUUCAAUAGCCUAGAACAUAUAUAGUCUAGCAGCUCAAGAUUCAGAAAGAAACAUGCAGAUUGCAGAGAAAUCAGAAUAUGUUUCCACUUCCAGCCACAUAUGCAUCAAUCAUCAUGAAAUAAACAUAUCAUCACCAUAAAAUAUAACCACUGAUUAUAAUUUUCCAAUCACUGCUAAACAAAUUAAAAAAAUAAAAAUAAAAAAUAAAUAUUCAGAAAGUGAACUCGUUCAAUGUCGCUAAUGAGUAAUGGCAUUACAGUUACAUUAGAUGUUUACUCUUUACUAAACAGUAUUUUGUUCUGAAUGAACGAUCUUUCAUAUUAGGAAGAGAGUAAUACGAGCUCAUUUUACAUCAUCAAAAUGGUAUAUUAGAUCAUGGAAACCGAUUCUAUCAAUAAUAUGCAAAAUCAAACCAUGUCUUUCUAUGCAAUGCGAUAGUUUUAGAGCAGGCUACUCCAUAGUUAGUAGUUGCCAUUGAUAAUUACAAAUUACAAUCAUAAUGUAAAAUCUGUUUGUAUUUGGUUACCAGAUAAUUAGUAGUUUUAGUACAUGCUACUCCAUAGUUAGUAGUUGCCAUCAAUAAUCUGUUUUUAGUUGCCAUAGUUAGUAGAUUGCUAGCAUUUUUCCUCAAUUUUUUUAUAUGGUCGUGAAAAUUUCGUUGUCCAAAUUAUUCAAAGAAUAGGGAAUGAUUGCAGCAUGAUACCAGAUAACUGCAAGUGUUGAGCAGAAAUCGACGUUAAUAUGGUCAUGAAUGCCAUCUAACAAAUAAACCAAAUAUAUAAAACAUCGAGCUCCAAGUGCAUGGUUAUUUUUUAGUUCGUAAAAGGGGAAGCAAAAAAAUUUACACAAUCAAUGACCCAUACACUGCUGGAAAACAAGCACAAAUGACUAUCCAACCUAACAAGAAUAAUUUAAUUCAUUUACUAUAACCAUUUAACACACCAAGAAAGAACAUGUGGCAUGCUAUCUUCCAGUCUCCAAUCUUCAACCAAGCAACAAAUCUCGAAAGGAACAAACUCAUGUGACAUUUGAAAUGCACAUUUCUUACAACAAUGUAUAGAUUUAUGACCAGACCUUAGGUUUCAGGAUUAAACUUUUGGGAAGAUAUGAGGCUUUUUGCUAGCCAUAUUGCUGUUUCUCUUGAUGAGACAGCUUCUUUCCCAAAUGGUCUUAGCACCCCAGCAAGCUCUUCGAGUUUAUCUUGCUUGAGUAGCUGAGCACAUAAUUCGAGCAGAGAUUCCAGAGCAUCAGCUCUUUGCUGGCAGGGACUAUCCAACGGAGUCUUGAUUGUUUCAUCACCAUCUACUUCAGUUAUUACACUCAAUGAAAUGCCACUCGGUGCCUGAUCAACCUCCACUACAUUAUCAUCUUUAUGCGUGGAGCAAAGAAUGUGUCCGUUUGCUAUGUCAUCAUCCUUAACUGGAAGUGCAUCAUUACUAACAGACAUUAAGCAGUUCAUAUGAGGGACCUCUGUAUAUACAUCAGGGUUUUCACUUUUCUUCAAGCGGUUUCCAGAUUCAGUGUCAUUUUCAACCCUAAUAGGAUGUACAAUAAGUGAUGACCUUUCCUCAUUGAUGGACUUAUCUUUAUCAGUGCUGCUACUGCCUUCACUGGACAUUGUUGAUUUACCAGAGUCCUCAAGGUUUGAAUCUUCCCUCUGUGCUUCAGCAUUAUCCAAACCUCCAUUGCAAGAAGCAUCUUCAACUUCUGCAGUCACCGCAUUUAUGUCGUCGUCUUCUAAUUUAUGAAAAUGUUUAGCAGCAAAUCUUUGUUCUUCAUGCAGAGAAUCUUGUGUACUCUUUGAAGAGAUCUCAUUGUUAGUCAUUUCCCUUGCAGGUCUACUUUUAAAGUCCUCCUUGCACACACUGCAAAUAGUUGAUUCAGAUGUUGUUGACCCAUCUUUUGAGCCACUAAUACUAGUAGAAGAUUCAACUAUGUAGCUGGUAAGAUUAGCCAUCCUGGUCUCAAGAUUGUCUUCUGCACUGGUUGAAAUUGUUACCACAUCAUUAGGAAGAUUGCUUAUCUGUAUAUCUGCAUUUCCCUCAAUUGGAUGAAUCCGUUCCAAACAAUUUACUAAACCUGCUUCUUUGUCCUUAUGGUCCUUGCCACCACUAGAUUUAUUAGGUCUUCUUGCUUUAUCCUUUGGAUUAACUAGGGGAUAUACAGGAAGAACAUUAGAUGAUGCAUUAUGACAGCGUAGAACAUAAGGUUGUAAAAGCGGAUGCCUUAACAAUUCAGCUGCCUGUCAAUGAAGAGAAGCAUUGUUAGAAUCCACCAUUCCAUCCAAAUUAAUCACAAAAGACAGGUUCAGUUGAACUCACGGUUGGCCUAUGUUCUGGGUUUUUCCUAAGCAUGCUCUUGAUAAGUUGUUUCCUGUCACACAUUUGCCAUCUUUCAGUUUUAUCAUUAUACGCAAUAUAAAACAUAAGAUGAAAGAAGGGGAAAAUAUACGAUUGCAAGUGCAAAAUUUACAGGGGAAUUUUGCUUGACUUCAAUAUAGUUGUAUUCACUUUGAGGAAAAAUACUUGAAUCACCAAAAACACAGGUUAAAAAUAUAUCAUGACAAUAGAGUGACUGCAAUUGGUUUGAGGAAGUUACUUACAGUGUGGAAGAAUAAACAAUUGGCAGUGGAGAAAUGGAGGAUCUGUUUAUUUUAUUGAUAAGUCCAGCCAUGUCCUGUUUUAGUCAUUCACUCGUGUUAAAUUAUUUUGCUGGUUUAAAUAUAUAUUGAAGAAUAGAUAUUAUGUUUCCAUUUAUAAAACUAAAUUCCUGCAGAUGGUUAAAGUUCUUACUGGAGCACGAAAAGCUGGUUGAUGUGCAGCAAUCUCAAACAUGCAGCAACCUUUACAUACAAAGAGAUUUCAUUCUUAAACAAGGUUUGAUACCAUAUAGCUUUGUCAAUUAGAAUAAGGUAUCCAUGAACCUUACCAAGAGACCACAUAUCAGAUUUAUACCCAUAAGGUAUAUCAGCGAGGAGCUCAGGACACAUGUAAUUUGGAGUUCCAACAACCUAGACAAGAUAUAAGAAGUAUGCAAAUAAAAAACAACAUAUCACUGUGUGAAUUUAUUUAAGUAUCAUUAACUUUAGCAAUAAGAAGUUCAAAGCAAAAAAUAUAAAUAUAUAGGCAGAAAUUUAUUUUUUUGGGCUGAACCAGGGUAUGUCUCAGCCAAGAGUUAAAGAUUAAUUCCUUAAGAUAAUGAGAUCCAUUUAAUUAUUUAAGCUGAGAAGCGUCAAUUACUGGGCAUGACAGUCCAUUACCAUGGGACAAAAAUACAGGUAACUUACUAGAAGGAGGCAUUAGAUAAAAGCUAACAUAGCACGCAUGUAUCCAUACCGAGGAAGCAAGGUCUUCUGCAUUAAGUCGCUUUGCAAGACCAAAGUCACCUGUAAGGUUCAUGCAAUAAAUAUAUUUCUUCAGAUAACAUAGUUUAUGAAAGCCUAAGUUUGAGCUUUCAAGGAAUAAAUACUACAUACCAAGCCGAAUGUUGUUGUCUUUGGUGAGGAAUAUGUUGGAACACUGAAAUACAUGAAGUUGCAUUAAUGUAAACAUCACAAAGGAUUUCUUAAACAAUAAAAGCGAAUAUGCAAUACCUUAAGAUCUCUGUGGAUCACACGAUUGGAAUGCAAGUAGUCCACAGCUAUCAACAACUGAGUCAGCCAUUUGCAGACCUUCUGCAGGAGGAAUUGGUGAUUCAGAGUGGGUAAGGAAUACUCAUACGAGGAAUUACGAGGAAGAGCAGAUUAACCAUAUUAGUUACCUCCUCAGGAAAAAAUGACCCUCGGGCUUUCUUUAUGUUCUCUGCCCUGCUCCACAAAGAAUGCAGGAUUCCAUGAUUAGGACUUCAUGUCACUGUUUGUAUUUCAUCCUAUAUAGCAUUUUUUUUAUCAUAUCCUAUUUAGCUAUAAAUGCAUGCAUGUAGACUAUCUUAUAUAAAAUACAAGACCCGCAGAAUCCCAAUUACAGUCUAAGUGUAUUUCAUCUCAAAAUUAAACUGCAAUGAAGAAUAUGAAUGUCAUGCAAAGAACAUACAAAUAGAUAUAUUAAACUUCUAUAUGGAAAGGAUACUACGGAUAUUGCAAAAAUUCAACACCAAUCAACAAGGACCCCUUCCAGAUCUCCAUAAUAUGUAUUACUUACAAAGCAUGUUUAUGCCAGAGUUUAAAAAAAGGUUCUUGACCCUUUUCUGACACCUUAAUCUUUUAGGCCAAGGAUCUGUUAUACAUCAGAAUUAGAUUGUGUAGACUAAAAUUCAAUACUUGUCAUCCAUCUUAUAAUUAAAAAUCAAUAUAAUAGCUUGAUUAUCCCAUAGAAAAAAUUCAGCAUAAAGUUUUGGGUAGUUUCAAUCCAAGAUAGCAAUUUUUAUAAUGUCCACAUUACAAGUCCAGUAGGUCUUCACAUAAAAUAAUGUGUAAGGAGUUAUGAGAAUCAUUCUUUUAUACUUAUUUAAUAGCUUACACUUUUGGUUUAACAAUUUGAAUGUAUAUAUUUAAUAAAUAUUUCCUUUUCUCCCGACAUUAAUUGAAAAACAAUAAGCUCAGAUCCUUAAUUUAUGCAAGAAAGAACCAGUGUUACUAACAGAUAUUGCUUUACUUACAUGUCACCUCCUUCACAAUAGCCGGUUAUAAUGCAUAUGUGGUCCUCCUACAAAAUAUAAAAUAUCAGAAACAUGCCUAUGAAGUGUGCUAAACAUCAGAAUAAGCUGAUAUGUCUAAUAAAAUUCAAACUUAUUUUUUCAUCUCUAUAUAAAUGAAUGACUGAAAUUUAAAAUUAAGAAGAAAAAAAUGUCUGUACCUUCUCCACCCAAGCAUCUUUGUAGUCCACAAUAUAUGGGUUAUUCAGUUUUGCAAUCAGGUUCAUCUGUAAUGGAAAGAGGAACUGAGUCACUUUCAUGUGGGUAGACAGAAAAUAAUCAUUUGAAAUCAGCUUCACACAACCUCUUAGGACUGAAGUCCAUGAAAUCAUUAUUAAGAAUACUGUUUUUUUUUUUUAAAGGCAAAUAUAUUAUGAAUACACACUCAUAUCUACAGAAAACCAAUAUUAAGAUGGCACUUGGCUCAAAAAUGAAAAUGACAUGUCUUAUGGUGUUUAUAGCAUUUAGUGAGCAUAAUAACAUUGACAAAACAAAUAUCCUCUUCUCUGGAAGUUUGAUCAACACUUGAGACAACAGUAAUGAGCAGCAUAUCACCUACCAGAUUUCAUCAAUGAAAUUAAUUCAAUGCAAAUUUACUAAAGUCAUUGUCUUUGUUUCUGCAGUGGAGAUUCAAUUACAUUAUUCAACUAGAUAUCCAGAUGACAGGUUUAUUUGUAGUACAAAAGAAGCAUAGCCAACAAUGGCAUAUUCCUAGAUCAUCAUGAAAGAGAAAUAUAAAGAUAUUGAAAAGCACAAACAAAUAGUUAAGUUGGGCUGAUUCAUGCCAUGCAAAAAAAAAAAAAAAAAAAUAUAUAUAUAUAUAUAUAUAUAUAUAUAUAUUAAAACAAAAGAUAAAUAAAUAUUUGCAUGAUUGACACUUAGGAUUCCUCAGGUCGAAGGAUUUGUUACACCAACCUCUUGGUGUGCUGUACGUUUGAACUUCUCUGUCUGUUUGGCCAACCUAAUCUUUUUCAGCACAUACCUACCGAGGAUAUGAAAUUAUGAGAAUGAGUAACAAUCGAAGUUGACAAGCUAACUCUACUCAAUUAUCUGGAUUUUCAACUCCAACAAUUAAACACCACCAUCUCAAAAUAGAAAGGGAAAAAAAAUCACAAAUUUUCAAACUUUCUCUCUCGGAUUGUCCAUCAUUUAACAGAAAAAAAAAAAAAAAAAAAACAAUAUCCAACCAUCCAUGUUCUACAGUUCACCAGGAAAAUAAUUGAACCUGAAAAGCUAACUAGUAACUACCAUGAAAGGUUUCAGGCCUCAACUCCAACAAUUGAACACAAUAAUCCAGAAGAAAAAAAAUUAUUUUUUCCUCAUGGGGUUGUCCAUUUUCUCACUGGAAAAACAAAUGGAUCUUCUAUCGGUUAAGGGAAAUAGUUAAAGGUGCCAUUGACUCACCUCUUUUUCUCGGACUUGUGAAGAACGAGGAAGGCAGAGCCAAAAGCUCCUCUUCCAAUUUGCUCUAUGACUUCAUACUCUUCCAUCUUUUUGGACCUGGUGUCACCGUUCUCUGUCUCCAUGGAAAAUUCCAGAGGCUAGAAGACAAAAGGUGAAGAAGCACUGAAGCAGCAGAUCCUGAUUUGCUACUACAAACUCAGAAGUGUAAAAGAAAGAGAAAAAAUAGAUACUUUAUGGCAAAGUAUGUGUGAGUUUGAAUUCUACUACCAACCCUCUCUACCCUUUUUUUCAUCCAAAUGCUGUAAUUGAAGACACACGCUGUAGGCUGAAGGGCAUUAAUUGGGUAUAGCAAAUGUAUCCUAAGAGAAUGAAUUUUGGGGACUAUUCAAUGGGUUGCAGCAACCAUAUGAAGCGUCUUCACAUGAAAGAUGAGUAAAGCUACAUUCCACAAUUAUGACACUAAACUACCUCGUCUGAAGACUGAAUUGGAGAGAGAGACAGAGAGACAAGAAAGGGUAGACUCAAGUAAAGUAGAAUAUAUCACCACCAAGAAAAUUGAAAGGUUGAUGACUUAACUUACCCAAAAGAAAGUUUGGAGAGAGAGUGGGGGUGGACAACAAGGUCAAGUAAAGGCUAUAUACCAAUGGCAUGGUGUCACAUUUAUAAAUACUUUUUUAUGUUUUAAUUAAAAACAAAUCCUAUGACUCUCUAAAAGAAGUAUUCAGACCAAUAAUUAUAUGUUAUCACUAACAAAAUUGUCACAUUGACAAUACCAUUUACAUACAUGUUUUUGUAGAAUAUUAGUGCUAUUCUUGUCGAUUAGAGUAACCUUAAUUGAAAAACACUUUUAUGUGUUGAUAUUAUUGUUGUAGUGGUGAGUGUAUCAUGGCUACAACCCCACCCCACCCAAUGGCUCAAAAAGAAAAUGGGGUUGGGAGAAAGGGCGUGGAGGACAGAACUUAAAGGGGAAAAAUAUGGUAUGAAAAACUAAAGAAAAAGGAAAAGUCUUGCUUGCGUUUUCAGAUUCAUAGGAGAUCAUUCAAAACAAGGAAUGUUCCCAGCUCGCAGUUGUGAUGUCACACACCGUGUACCUUAAUAAACAAAAUCAUCAAAAUUCAGUCUUGAGCCAAUAGGUGUAUAAAUAUACACUACAAAAAGUAAAAAAUUAAAUAAAUAAAUAAAAGUUGCGUGGGUUUGUGCUGGCCAACCACCCCGGCUGGUCCAGAGGCAUAAUUGUGGUUUAAUUUAACACCUCCAGCAUUCUUAGAGGUCAAGAAUUUUUCUAUUAUUUAAUGUUUGAUGUAAUGAUAUGAUUAGUUUUAAAUUAAGUGUUAAUGGUGAGUGAUAAACAUGUUAAUUUAUGAUAAAAUGAUAGGUCAGCAACUACUUGUUGCAAUUAUGUACAUAUUUGUACAAAUUAGGUGGUAAUCGGGUUUAUUUAACCCUAAGAAAUGUAGUAAUCAUUUCUAAGCAUGAGCUUAACAACUAACAAGUAAAAUUUCAACUGUUAAUUUGGUGAUCAUGAUGUCAAAUCAAAACCUAAUUAGUCUGUUUAACCAACCCGUAAAAGAACGAGGUGCAAUGUCAUUAUUAUAGUAGACCGUAGAUUAUCUGCCACACGAUAUUGCCAUGUAGGUUUUACAACAGUUUAUCACAAGAAAGUCAAUAAUAAUAAGAUCAAAGGGAAAGAAAGCCGCAAGAUUAACAUAGUUAUAAGUUACCCAAAUUAAUUAAAUCCUAGAGAUCCUAAAAUUUGGAGCUGACACAAGAACAAGUAAUGUCGUUGACCCUCACCUGCGUACGGUUUUUUAAGGUAGAACUUAAAAAAAAAAAUAGAUACAAUUUCUUAAUUGCAUGUUGAGUAUUCUCUCAAAAAAAAAAAGUGCAUCCAAGUUAUAUCUUUUCAGAAAUCAAGAAAAAAUUAAGAGAACAAAUUAAGGGGUCAUCCUCCUCUGUUUCCAAUUAUUGCCUUUUUUUCCUUUCCAAGCUAAAUGCUUUCACUCCCAUGAAAUCCUUUAUCCCCAUGCUUUAGUUGUCGGAGACAGUAAAAAGUUAAUAAUGUUACUAUCCACAAGGUGCAACACAAGUGGAUGUGGUUAAUAGCUUAAACCUUAUAAGUAUAAAACAGAAGUUUGAUUCGAGAAUAGAGCAGCACUUGUGUGAAAAAUAAUCGUCCUUUAAUUAAUACUCUACUUCAAGAGAAAAAAAAAGUUGCAAGUAUAUAGAACAGCACAUUGAAUUUUUUUGCAUAUAUUUUAGUUCGGAAGGAAUAGAAGUAUUUUAUCUGGACACCAACCGCUGUUCUCUCAUGUGGUGCUCCGAAUAUUACAAUAACCAUUGUCCCCGCAAAAGCAACCAUGUAGUGUCGGCAGUAAUCAUUCCCUUGUCUUUGCUAUUUACAACUGACCAUGAAAUCCAAAAUUCCAUUCAAAAACCUCUUAAACUUUUGAUUUGAUCGUCAACAUAAUGAGUAUAGGUGAUAUGAAAACAAUAGUGUGCUAUGAACUAGGCGUAGACAAUGACAAUGACAAAGACAUGAUAACUACGACAUAUGGUUGACGAACGAUUCCCGUUUUAAACAGUUUGUGCUUCACAGCCGAAGGCUAUAAAGAACAGUUAUUUUGCUAAACAAAAUUGUAGUUAUAUAUAAAUGUGGAUACAGAUAUGAAUCAUAUGAUACAAGGCAAAGGCCUGUACGGGUUUUAUUUUCAAACAAGACUCUGCCAGGUAUGAUAUAACUUUAUCCUCCAGUUUGUGAAUGACUGUAUAAAGGGUUUCUGUAAGUACAUAAAAACUAGUUUAUGUUGUGUUCAUGCAGUUGAACUGUUACAUCACAUGGCUAUGAUCGUGAUUAGUUACCAGUUUGAAUAGUAAAAUUAUCAUUCUUGCAGAUCUUCUAAAGAAAAAUAGGCCAUUGAUGUGAACGUGAGGAAAACAAAAAAGUGACAUGAGGAAGUAAAUGAAUGCAAAGAAGGUUCUUCUAAAGUGUUCUCUAAAAUAAACAAAUUGUAUCCAUACUUAAGUAAAUUUCAAAAAACCAAAUCUUACACAGUCCUAACACAAGAUUUGCUACAAAAAGAAUUCCUAUACUCCAUAUAGCAUAAUAUGGGAUCAUCGAUCACCCCAACUUCAGACCGGCCAUCUCACUUUAGGCCUGCAUAAUGAAGCUAUUCCCCCCUUUAAUGAAAUUUGUUAAUGCCCUAAGCCAGUUGCCAGCGGUUGUUUUCACUUUUCAAGCCAAAAAAUUGCUAGGCGUUUUCAAGAUAUAGAAAAUGUCACAAAUCUUACAUUUAAAUCUAGUGUCCGUUUGGUUUACUGGCAUUGUCAAUUUCACACACCAUGACACGUUUCAGUGUAAAAUUUGUGAUUGAAAUUAAUUAUAAUCACAUACAAUGAUUUAAAAUCAAUUUUACUCAUUUAAAGCCAGCGGAAACUUAACUGUAAGCAUAUCAGCAUUGGUGCUAAAUAAACAACAAACAUCCAUAUAAAAAAAUUUGGUAAAAGGAUACCAAUCACUUGCCGUCACAGCAAAGAAAUAAAAUGGCUCCAUCUCAGUAAUAACCAGUCACAUCGACUUACAAAUUGAAAACACCCAAGUAGUUCUGCUAAAUACAUCAACAUUUGAUAACUAAAAAACAGGAGCAAACACCAUGUCACAGAAACAAAUUAACUAGACACAUAAUUGUAUAUUUUUACUUUCGCUUUGAUUGCUUCGAGUUUUUAGAGGAUCUACCAGUCUCCAGCUUUCUCCGUGUAGCUUCAAACUCCUCUUCAGAGGGUUCUGGCGUAUCACCACCACCAUAUUUUGAAACUAGAGAUGAGAACAUUAAAUCAAACUGCCCUUUUCUCUCAUUUCGGCGUUGUGCUAUGAUUGCACAUAGAUCUGUCUCUGACUGCUUAUUUGACCUGUAGAAAACAAUGGAUCAUUCUUAAACUACAGCAUAAAUAAUGCAAACCCUGCUUUAUCAACUUACUUUUCCCUCCUCCUCAAAGGAUUUGUGGGCGGUUUGAUUUCAGAUACUUCCUUAGCCCAUUUCUGGUAGGCUUUUUUUGCCUUUAGUUCUCCUACAGAAUAUGGAGAAGAGAAAAUAAAUAAUCAUCAACGAAAAAGUUAAACAACCCAAGAAUGUAAUGGACUCUGUCAUGACUGCUCAUCUUAGCAUGCUGAUUCACAGCACUAAAGCUUAAAAGUAAAGUAAGUGCAUGAUCACCAAUUCUCUUAUUAACUUGCAUUCCCAAUCUAACAAUCGAAACUCAACAUACAACUUUUCCUGCAGAGAAACUUAAAAUCUAGAGCAAAUGUCUGGCUAAAACCUUGGUUAACAAAAUGUAGUUAAUAUCUUUACCUGAAGCUAUAGCCUCAUCGAGAAUAUCCUUGAAUCGGUGUGAAUCAAGUUUAGGAUCUGAACAAAGCAUUGAACAAAAAAGCCUGCAAAGGGAGAUAACUCCUGAUAUCAAGCUCAACCUUUUCAAAUACGGCUCAUGCGCAUCUCAAAUUCACAAUGCUUUCUUACCUAUUCAUGUUACCCUUGCACUUCUUGUACAAAUCAAUCAAAUCAUUUUUCUCUGAGUCAGAUCCCCGAUAGUUUGCUUCAAACUCCUCAAUAUCAGCUUCAGUCACCUGUAGCACAUUUUAAGCACCACAUAAAUGAACACAAAUAUACCACAAUGGAUUAGAAAACAGAAUACCAUAUAUCAUAUAUUAAAACAAAUACCUUCUUGUACAUUGUUCUAAAGAACUCUUGAAGAUUCUGAACAACAUCUCCAGCAAGGUCCUGAUUUUAAAAAAAAAAUGAAGAGUUGUUGUAGAUGUCAAGGACAUGUGGCUAAAGUAUCCUGAAUGCUACCCUUACAGCAUUUAACAUUUUUUAAGUAAUUAUAAGCAUUCAGUAGAGAAAACCUAGCAUCUUUGAAAAAUUCAUUAGUAAGACCCAAGAAUAUUAUAAGAGGAUACUUUCCUCUAAUAACAGUUAUAGAACAUAAGAAUCUCAACUCUAAUUCUUUAAUAUAAUUUUUACACUCACCUUGCAUCCGUCUCAAUCUCAAUUUUGUUUCCUAAUUGCAUAUAUCACUUUGUCUCUCUUUCUUUCAUAUUUCUCCCCUCCCUUCAAGGUGUAUGCACCCUAAUUGGGUGUGAAAGAACCAUUUUUGUAAGGAUAUACUUGGUAUCUAGACAUUUCCAAAUAUGAAUUCAAUUUAUCAUGUUUUCAUUGAUUCGCCAGCAAGAGCAAUAGCCUUGUCUUACUAAAUAAGGUCAACUACAUAAAUCACACAAUAGAAUUAGAGUCUUAUUUGGAAAAAAAAACUUCUCUACAAACACUCAAGGAGAAGAAAUAAAAAGGUAAAUGAAUUCAGCUUUUCCCAGAAGUUAAAGUCAAAUUCAGCUGUUUUUUGUAGAAGUUCUCUCAUCUAAUUUUUCCAAUUUUAACUUAUGGAAGAAAAAAAGAGUCAAUUUUAUCUUGUUAUUUUCUUUUCCUAUAAAUAGUUAAAUACUAAUUGAGAAAUUUAUCCAAUCAAAGCCUAAUCAUCAGCAACAACACAUGAAGAAAAAAAAAAGUGGCACUCACAGCAUCAUCAACACAACCAGUCUGAUCAUAGAGAGCUCGCUUCUCUUCAUCCCCGAGAAUCGAUAUCACUUUUUGCAGUUGCUGGAAUUUCUCCUUAGCUUCCUGCAACAACACAAGAAACUAAUCAAUUACAAGUGUCAACACCUAAAAUAUAUUCUAGUGAAAAGACCAUGAUGGCAUAUUCAGGAGAUAUAAAAGGUUGGUUGGGUGGUUAAGAAGGAGGGAAAGGUUGCGGAUUCGAUCCCUCCUAUUAAAAAAAAAAAAAAAACUAGCAAUUAACAUUUGUCAAUAUAAAAAAUGAUGGCAUAUUCGGCUAGAAGAAUGACCUCAUCAUCACCAGGGUUCUUAUCGGGGUGAAGCCGCAACGCCAACUUGUAGUACGCCUUCUUUAUUUCCUGCUGAGACGCCGUUCUCUCCACGCCAAGAACCUACAACCACUCAACCACCGUCAAACAAAGUCAUAAUAUAUCACAGUAACAACACGCGAAUUGAAUUUGAAUAGUGAAAUAAUCCAUUAUCAAAGGAAAGCGAAAGAAAAAGCAUGAAUUUUUUAGGGUACCUGGUAAAGGCUGGUUUGAUCAUGUUGCACUUCCAUUUCCUCGUCGUCGGAAACCCUAGCUUUCUUCUUCUGCGCCAUUUUCGUUUUGCAGAAAGAGAGUGAUUCCAAUACUCGUUUGGUGGGUUCGUUUGCGCCUCGUGCUUGUUUUAAAUCAACGUUUGCGUUUGAAGUUAAAUUAAACUAAUAUUAACUUUUUUUUAAAAAUAAAAUAAAGUUGGGGUUGUUCCCGCCAUGUGAUUCCGGCUUUACUAUUUUUUCCCGCCUUUGUGUUCUGAUUCACCCUCUACCUACAAAGUAUGGGUACACCCAAUUAUAUUCUGGAAAGCCUAUUUGGGAUUAUCAAGAAAUAAAUGGUAGUAAAUUCAGAUUUCAUAAUAGACUUUUGAGAAUAUAAUUGGAGUUCAAAUAGACUUUUCAGAAUGUAAUCAGAGGUGAAGAACGCAAUAGUAAGAAUGUAAAAAACAAUCUAGUCAAAGUUAAGUGUAAUCACCUUUACAUCUUUCCUUUAAAAAAAAAAUCACAUCUUUAUGUCAUGGUUUUAUUUUUUAUUUAAAUAUCACUUGUUCAAAUUUAAAUUUUUAAGUUAUGUUUGAAUUAGUAGAAAAUAACAAAAAAUUGCCAAGAAAAUGAAAUGACAUUACUAAUCUAAUUUUGUUUGGAUAUUUAAAAACAUUUGAAAUUUAGAACGAGAAAAAUCAAUAAUUCAUUGAUUUAAAUGAUAUUGAACUCGAUCUUUCACAAUAAUUUUUUAGGUUUGAAUCUUGUGGAUGAAAAAAAUAUAUGACAUGUAUUGAUUAUAGUCAUAUGACAUGUAAGAAAGAUGUUCAUAAGAUAACUACCUUGAUUAUUUUCAAAUGGUGUAACAAUAUUAAAAUUACUAUAUGAUUAUGUUAUUCUUACGAGAACAAUCAUCCAAUGUAAACUUUCCAUGGUUUAGCUCUAGCUUUUUUUUUUAGCUAACCAGGGAAAACAAAAUAGAAACUAUAGCUCACUAAGGCUACGACUACAAUAGCAAGGACAGGGGGAAGAAAAUUGAAAACAACUAAAGAGUAUCUUCUUUGAUGACCAAGGUUAGCUUCCAUGUCCACACUUUUGUUGACUUCACAAAGAACGUGAUGAACAUUUGAUGACUAACCCAUCUUUCUCAAGUCAAACUUGAUGCUUUGGAUGAUACUCUUAAGAUAAGGAGGCGUAACUAAAUCACCUUUAACCAAAUUGACUACAACAAGGGAAUCUGACUCAACACAGACAGAGUGUAGGUUCAUGUCUUUAGCCAAGUGAAUACCAAAUUUAAGACCCCGUAACUCAACCAACGGGGCAUUACAAGGAAGGAGUUUCUUAUGGAACCAGGUUGUGACAUCGCCAUUAUCGUCUCUAAUAAAGCCACUACAAGCAGCAAUGCCCGAAGUAGCCUUGUAGGAACCAUCCACAUUGAUUUUAUAAGCUGAAAAUUUUGGGAGCUUCCAAGAAACAACCACAUGAUGAUAACCAUCAUUGUAGUUAGAAGAUGUCCCUUUUGAAUACUCUUUGUGAAUAAACUAGGCUUGGGAAAGAACCUAGUGCAUUGAACCAAAGUCUAAGCUGGAGAUGCCUUGGAAAACAAUUUGGUUCCUAUCAUUCCAUAGAUGGUGGAUUAAAAUACCAGAGAAAGAACUCCAAGUACCCACAAGGGCUUCCAUGUUGUUCCUCCUUAGGUUUAAAUCCAACCAAGCAUAAAGCCCACGGCUGAAGAAUUUGACUUAGUGAUUUUGGUCAAUGAAAAUGGACCAGAACUCCCUCACCUCUUCACAAUCUCUAAGAGUAUGCAUGGAGUCUUUUGCAUAAUUCCCAUAUAUAGGGUAGGUAUUAGAAUCUGACAUUUUCUUGUGCUUCCUUGAGGAAUUUGUAAAGAGUUUAACAUGAAUGAGUCUCCAAAAGAAAACACGGAUACAUUGCGAGCGAUGCCAAUUUGAAACCAAAUUGGAUCUAUAUUUAGACUAAAUAUUUGUUGGGGACUCGCCAUUGGAUAAGAAAGAGUAAGCCUCCCUAAUAGAGAAGUUACCAUCCUUAGAGUCUUUUCCACAAAGGUACAUCUUCCAUACCAGGGAUGGAGGGGGAACAGAGGCAAUUCAAUAGUAAAUAUAAGGGGGAAUAAGGGAGUUUAAAGUAUCUCAACACCAUCAACGAAAAAAUGGCAUCCAAAACCCAAUCCUGCAAAGGGGGCUUUCUAGAAUCCAACUAUCAAUCCAUAAUCUAAUAUUGGUUCCAUCAUUUAGACUUCAAGCCAAAUUAGAAUGGAUAUGGUGCUAAGCAUUUGCAAUAUAUGCUAGAUCUGUGAAGCCUUAAGAGAAUGCUUCAUAUUGGAAUAAUCCUUUAUCCACAACUAUACUUAGCCUAAAGGAUCCUAACCUAAAGGGUACUCAGCUGAUAAAUCAUAGCCCAAACCAUCUUCAAUAUAUAGGCUUCAUUAAGAACUCUAAUAGAUAAAAAACCAAGACCUCCAGACUCCUUAGGCAUACAAAUUGUUUCCCAGAAGACAAGGUGGGCUUUCCAGGACUCCUUAUUACUCCCCAGAUAAAGUCUCUACAAAGUCUUCCAAUGCCAACACAUAUAGCAGUUGGAAUGACAGAGGCUUGCAUGGAAUAUACAGGUAGGUUCAUUAAGAAAGAUUGGGAAAGGGUUAUUCUACUUGCCAUAUAAAGAGAGUGACUUUUCCAGCAUGAAAGCCUUUUCCUUACUUUGUCAACCAGAUGAGAGAAGUGAUGGUAAGCUUCUUUUUUUUAAGCACCAUAAAACCCAAGUAGGUCUUGGAAUCAACUGUGGAUUGAAUGUUAAGCUAGUUAUUAAGGGUAUUAGCGAAGGUAUCAUUAACCCCUUUAGAAAAAAGAUAAAGGAUUUUUGUAAAUUAAUAGUUUGACUUAAGACAUGAGAAAAGAGCUGCAUAAUCUUAUUUAUCUCAUUAUCUUUUUAGAUAUAAGCUUUUGCCACUAAGAUAAGGUCGUCAACAAUGAAGAGAUGGGAGACCUGAUGAGCAUUAGACCUACCAAAUAAUAAAGGCUUUCAUUGGUUUUGUAUAACAUAAUCAUGAAUAAUAUGGGGCAAUCUUUCUAGGUAAAGGAUAAAAAGGAAAAGGGACAAGGGGUCGCCCUGGCGAAGGCAUUUACAGGGGUUGAAGGAAUCAGUUGGACUUUCAUUCCAAUGGAUGGCAAUAUCACUAAAACUAAUGUAGUGAGAGAUAAGAGCAAUCAUCCAAUCCAAAAAACCCAGCUUCCUGAUGGUAUCAAUGGAAAAGUCCCAUCCAAUAUUAUCACAAGCUUUUGAAGAUCCAACUCGAUGAUCAUGUACCCUAGGUUGAAGGAUUUAGCCUGAAAGGAAUGCACCAGUUCAUGGAGGAUAAUGUAGUUGUCAACAAAAUUUUGUCCUUUUAUGAAUCUGGUUUGUAGAGACCUAACAACAUAGGACAUAACGUGCUUGAUGCGGUUGAUGAGCAUUUUGGUGAUAAUUUUGUACACCACAUUGCACAGGGUAAUCGCCUUGAAUUGAGAAAUGGAUGAAGGGUUAGAAAUUUUAGGAUUAAGGUAAGCAGAGUAUGAUUAACAUAACUGAUGAGAUGCGAAUCCAUCUUUGGGCAAUAUAGAUGAAGUGGUAGAUAAUUUUCCCAAUAUGAUUCCAAUGAGAUUUGAAUAAUAAAGGAUGGUAACCAUUCGGCCCAGAAGAUUUUAAGUUUCAUAUAGAGAAAAUGUCAUAUUUAGUUUCUUGAAAGGAGAAGUCAACAUUAAGCAAAGCUAUGUGCUCAUCCAGAAUAAGAGGACAUGAGUGAUUUGGUAUAGAGCACAUUUAUGCAAUGAAAAUCAAAAGUAAAAAAAGGUCCUAAUAAUGGUUACUCACUAUGGCUUUUACAUGAUCAACAUCAUAGACCCAAUGUUGAUUGUCAUCAAUUUUGACCUUCCUUUGCUUAGUGAGAAGAGAUAAAUGGAAAAAUCUAGAGUUUCUAUCUCCCAGAUCAAGCCAUUUUGACCUCAAUAAUUGAUGCCAAUAGGGUUCCCCUUGGCUAGCUAUGAGCUCAUACUUAUUCCAGAGCUUUUGUUGGAGCUCAAUCAACCUGGGAUCAUUUCAAAGCAUGAGGGUAGAUUUGAUGCCCUAUAAUAUAGUUAGAAUCCUUUUUAUUUUUCUUAAAGGUGCUGCCAAUACUAUUAUAGUUCCAAUCCUUCAGAGCCUCAUAAAUUCUAUGAAUGUUCACUCCCCAAGAGUCAUGAUGAUGCCAAUUGUUUUUGGACAACUCCAACAAAUUAUGGAUGGUCCAGCCAAGCCCUAAGGAAUUUGAAGUAAUUAGUUUUGUCUAGCCAAUCCACUAUUCAAUUUAAUCCAUAAACCAUAAUGGUCAGAGGAAGGCAAAUGGAGGUGAUUUAUAACUAUAGAAAUAAAAGAUUUAUGCCAUAAAGGGUUAGCCAACACACGAUCAAGCCUUUAUCUAAGAUCACAUCACUACCAAGUGAAGGGCGAAUUUGAAUCCCAUAUCAAUAAGAUUGGCCUGAUGGAUGCAGUUCCACAAAAGCUUACUAGAAGUGGUGUUCAUCGGGUUAUCUCCAGAUUUCUCAUGCUCAUAGAGCACUGUGUUAAAAAUCACUUGCUAAAGCCCAAGGAUAGGUGAUGCAAGUGUUGAUAUUUAUUAUCUCUUCACAAGCAUGAUGCCUUAGGUGUUGAUAAGGGCUAGCAUCAAUGGUAGUAAGGAAUCAAAGGUUGUUGGAGAGAGGAUUUACCUCCAAAUAGACAUGGAACUUGGAGGAAGUAACCACGUUGAUAGUGACGCGAGAGGCUCUCCAAAGACACUAGAUGCCUUCAGAGAAACCAUCAGCUUUAGCCCAAAAAACAUUGUCUAUACCAAUCUGACUUGGUCAACCAUUAAGCCGUUUAUUCUAGGCUCUAGGAUAACCAUAUAGUCAAGCUUAUAGAUUUUAACAAGAUCACGAACAACACUAGUGAAGGACUUUUUACUUGCACCAUGAGAGUUCCAGAUUUAAAAAUUCAUAAAAAUUUAUGAUAGGGAGCGAGAAUCAAUCCCAAAGGCAACACUUAUCCUCAGAACUGGUCAUCCUCCAUAGUUGCAUCCAAAACAGGUUAGACAAUAUCUAGCUCCACAAUUGGUUCCAUAGAGGCAUCCAUAACAAAUUAUUCAUUAUUGGUUGUGCUAGGGGAUCCUCCAAAAUCAAGUGGCAUUCUAGGCAUAAAAUAUAUGUUAGAACCAUCCUUAACAAGCUCUAAGGGGAGGGGAAGGUGAAAGGAAAAUAAAAUAUCAAGGAGAGAGUCGAGAGUAGGAUUUAGAGGGGGAGCAACGUUGGGGAUGGUGGUCAGUAUCUAAAGAGAUACAUAAGACUAAGGAAUCUAAUGGUUGAUUGAUCUAUAGGGGGAAUAGUUCAAAAGGACAUUUGGGUGAGUGUUUGGGAUUUUAUCGGUACUUUUUCCAUGGUGGGAAUUGGUCUGGGAUGAGGUCAUAAGUUGGUAAGAGGUGAAUUUGGAAGGGUUUAGUUUUUUGGAUGGGGUUUUUUAUUUUCCAAAAGAAUGAGGGUCAGGUUUAAUAGGUUUAGAUUUGGGAGCUUGGUUGGAACUUGAGGGAGAGUCCUAAGUGGUGUUUGGAGUGGCAUCCACAUCAACUGGUGAGGUUUUCACAUCAAUUUCUAGUUCUAGGACCCCAAAUAUGGAUCCUGUCACUCUUGGGUUAGAUGAGUUGUUACCAUGGUGGGUUUAUCUUCCCCAGGAGCCCCUUUUAAUGAUUGUUUUUUAUUGUUUGGGCAAUGGGGAACACCAUUUAGCUUUCUUGACAAGCAUCCAAGGACCAUAAACAAUGUCAUUUUGUUAGAUUUUAUUUGUAUCAAGGUCAUUAUUUCUUGUAGUUAUGGUGGGACCAUUUUAGGGAGGGUUAGAGGUUUUGGUCAAGUCCAUCUGGCUAGGGGUUGAGUCAUUUGUGACAGUAACCUUUUAAGGUUUAUUUGGGCAAAAAAUAAUUUUUAUGUCCAUAUUUUCCACGAUGGAAACAGACUAAAUGAUUCCUCUCAUAAUCUAACUUGAAUUUUCUUCCAAACACCAAAAAGGAUGGAACAAGUUCCUUUCUCAAAUCCAGCUCAACGCAAAUACGAGCGAAUUUAAGUUUAUUGUUCACAAAAAUGUUCUCAUCAAUAUUCAUCAUGUUUCCCAAAAGGUUCCUUACUUUAAUAAGGUAUUGCUUGUUGUAUAGCUCCUUGGGGAGCAUAAGAAUUUGAACCCACAUAGCCACCUUACGAACACAGUGUUCUUUAGGGUUGAAAAAAGGUCUCCAUCUCUGGAUCAAUAAGUAGUGGUAAAAAAAUGAGCCAUGGCCUUUCACAAAAGAGUAAUCAUUUUCAUUGCUGAAUCCAACAAGAAAGAAGUCCUCUUGAAGAUCUAUGGUUUGGAUCGAACCUAACUUACCCCACAUUUUUUGAAGUCUGACAACUAGGAAUUUGAGUGUGAUUUUUUUCCAAGGAGUUUCACUAUGAGCAAGAAUUUCCAUGGUUUACACCAUUUGUUGUAGGCUUCUGUAGAUACCUUGAUGGUUGGUUUCAGGUUAAAGAGGAAAGAGUGCACCUCUUCUCCCUAUUGUGUAAAAGUUUUCUCAUUGGAGUCCAUUUUUGUGUUAAAGAGUCCAUUUUUGUGGAACUACUAGGUAUAGGUAUUUUCAAGGAUGAACCCUAUUGGGGUGUUUCUUCCUCCCCAUCGAUCUUAGCCUUCUUUGUACUAUGUUUCAUUUCACCCAUUUUCCUCUGUGGAAGUGGUGUCCAUACCACUUGGAGUGGAUUACGGUUCGAGAAAGCCAUCAAUAAGGAGUGGUUUAGCUCUAGCUCUACUCUUGCCAGAUACAUCAUCAAAAAAAAUUUCACUCAUCCUAUGAAGUAUAAGAUAUAUAUACAAAUUUUAAUGAUUUUAACAUUCAUAAAUAAAUAUUCAAAUAGUAAUACUUUCCUAAUAUUUUAAACAACAUAUUACACAUUAAAAUGAGGUAAAGUGAUAAAAUAUCAAUAUAUUUUUUUAAUUAUGUAACUUUUUAGAUUAUUGAAUCCAUCAAUUGUAUUAAUAUCUGUUUUUAUAAAAAAAAUAAAAAUAAACUAAUAAUUUUUUUUAUCCAAAUUGACUCAUAAUUUACUAAAAUUUUAUAAACUUAUUAUAUUGUUAAUAAAUAGAGUUUAAUGGUCAUGCAUUAAUAAUAAAAAUACUUUACAUUGUUGUCCAAUUAUAAUUUAUCGUUAAUAUGACAUUUAAAAUAAUUAUCAUAAUAAAUAAUAAACUUAUCAUACAUGAUGAAUUGUGAUUGGAUAAUAAUUUAAAUUUUUUUACACUAUAAAUGUGUAACUCUUAUUCUCUUAUAAAUAAUACAGAUAACUUUGUAUAACUUACUAAUUAUAUUUCACAAUUUAAUAUCUUUUGAUCCUGUUCCAUUAAAAAGUAAUUUUUUAUAUCGAUAAUAAAUAAGUAAAAAAUACAUCAAUAAUAUACAAGUAGUUAUUUAUACACUAAUAUUCAUUCUUAUAAUUAAAAAUAUUGAUAAUUACUUAUAUAUUUAAGUUUGAUUACAGAAAAAAUACUAAAAUGAAAGGAUUAUAAUUUAUUUUUUGCAUCACUUGAGAUUCAAAUAUUAUUUUAAUCAAUAAUAGACUUAUUGAAGUAUAUAUAAAACAGCUAACGUAAAAUAAAAAAUAAGGAACUAUUUAAAAUUUUGGCGGAUGAAAAGACUUGUACAGAUAGCUAGGCCCAAAUCAUUGUAUGAGUACAGCGCACUGAGUUUCAUUUUUGGGUCCGGGUACAUCGUACUGUGGAAGUGUGAUACUGCCUCAAUCAAAAUCUAGGUGGAGUCCAUGUUUUUGUUUGGGGAUUUUCUUCCUGCACCCAACAUUUUCUUCAAUACACCCAUUAAUAAAAGAAAAAAAAGAAAAAAAUACUUUUAUAUAUAACUUAUUAUGGAUUAUCAAUCUGUAAGUCUCAUACGGAUCCGUAAGAGGCUUAUGGAUUACGAAUUGUCAAUAUUAUUUAUAGGUUGUCCAAAAUAAAUAUUGAUUAUGUAUGAUAAAAUUAGCUGAAGAGAUAACUUAAGUUAAAAAGUUAACUAGUAGCUGAAAGUUGAAAUCUGAUAGUUAGAAAUUUUUAAGUUAACUUUAAACCAUAAAUAUUUUAAGGAUAAAGAAGAAAUAAAAUAUAAAAUGUUAGAAACUACUAAAAAAAACUUAUUUAUUGAAUAGUUAAAUACAUUUUUUAGCAAAUAAGAAUGAAUAAUCCAUAAGUCUCAUACGAAUUAUCAAUCCAUAUGAGACUUAAAGACAUAAUUUGUAAGCCUCUUGCAUAUAUGUAGGAGGAUUAUGGAUUGGCAAUCCAUAAAGGAUAAAAUUGAAUUUUUAAAAAAUGUUGGGUGUAAAAAGAAUAAUCCUUUUGUUUGUUACUGUGGGACCCAGUGUGGACCUUCAUUUGAGGGACUUAGUUUUCGGGCCUGAUUGUCUGUGCUUUUCAUAAGAUAUCUAAAUAUUCUUAAAAGCUAAAAUCCAGAAAAUCAUGCUUUAGGUAUGUUUUAAUAAUUUUUAAUAAUUUUUUCUAUAAAAAAUUUAUACGAGAAUGAAAUAAAAUAAAAAAUAAAAAUAUUUUUUUCCCAUAAACUAAAAUUAGUUUAUGUAUAAGUUAAGAAAUAAUUUUUAAAUAAAUCAAUACAAGAUAAUUUUUACAAAUUAACUAAUGAAUAAACUAAUUUUAGUUUAUUAAUUUUUUUAUUUAUUCUAUAAGUGUUUAUGGAGAAAUAGGUGCUUAAUUUUUUUUCUUAACGAGUUAAAAUUAAUUUUAAAAAGGUUUUAAAAAGUAAUGCAAAAGAAGAGGUAAAAUAUUAGUCUGAUUAUUUCAAAAUGAUUUUGAGAUUUUUUAAAAAAAGUAUUUUUUAGGACUAUUAAUGUCAAAACAUUAUAUUAAACAUUCUACUAAUGUAGAUUGAGUCGAAUGAUACCAUUUUUGGGUACAAAUAGGUCUCAGAUUAUCAUUUUUACCAACAAUAAAACUGGAAUAUUUUAUUUUAUUUUCGAAUUACACAGAAAAACUAAUAAAUGCUAAUUUCGUAAUUAAUGAAAGAUUGUCUCGUGAUUUAUUGAUAUAGUGAUUUACGUGUGAGUUGAAGUCCUUUAUGAGCCUGUCAUUUCCUAUUAACUAGAUAUAGACCCGUAUGUAUAUUUCAUCUCUGUUUUUUAAAAUAAAAAAAUUAAUAAUAAUAAAUUUUAUUAAAAUUAAGAAAAUACAGAUAACUAUUCUUUUUAUUUAGAAUUUGUUGUAAAUUUAAAUUUGAUAUGGUAAUAUUCUUUAUAAACUAUUCUUUAUAUAUAUCUUUCUUACAAUUGAGGUAUCAACACUAAAUUCCACAAUUCAAUUUUUAUACAUUAUAAUAAAAAUAUCAUCCUUUACCAUGAUUGAAUUUUGCAAAAGAACAACAUCUUAUUUAUCUUCCUUAUGAGUGUUUUUCUUUUAUUAGUGGCAAAGUAAAAAAAAAACAAAGGCUUGGUAAACAAAGUCCCUACAACAUCUGCUAACAAAAGAGAGCAUAGUUGCGGUGGACAAGAACGCAGCAUCACAAGCUAUUGUUGAUUAUUAGCAUCAGUCUUGAAUAGCUAAUCCACACAAAAGUUGUCGUCCCUAAGCAUAUGCUGAAAGCUCUAUUAAGUAAUAAAGUUAACUACGGAGGCAUAGGGAUGGUGAACAGAAGUUCCCUCGUUAAUAAGCUUCGAGAUCACUGUCAAUCAAUUGACAGAUGCACCAAAUCCAACAAGCAUUGAAAUGGUAAGAUUAACUAUUGUGUUCAUAAGAAUUUUAUUUGUGUAAAAUCAUUUUUUAAGCAAUUGAAUAAGAUAAGUUGAUAGAGUUUUAACUAAAGGUACGAAAAUUUAAAGACUAUAAACUACAAACAAUGUAAAAAUAAAGCAAAUUUCACAUGAACAAAAGAUCAAAAAUUGUAAACAAUGAUUAAAUGUCAUAUUUGGGGAUAAUGUUGAUAAUAAAUCAACAUCUCGAUGAUAAAGAAUGUUUUUUUCUAUUUAAUGAAAUUCAUAUAUCAGCUCCACUUCUUGUCAUCUUCUAACAUUGAUCUCUCAAUUGCUAGAAGUUAAAACACUUGAUCUUAAUUCUAAUUCCUUGCAAAUGCAAAUAAAUAAUUUAGUAUGAGUAGAAGUCUUUAAGAGACUAACAAGUAUCCUUCUAUUCCUAUAAAAGACAUCCAUUAGUUAUCAUUCUCAAACUCAGUUUUCAAAGCAUUUUCUAAUAACAAAGAACACUAAAAGAUAAGCAUAUGAUUGAUCAAUUCACAGACUAGCAUUAAAAUAGAGAAAUGAAGAUAACAUAGAACAUUCAUAAAAUAUAUAGUUAAGAUGAUCACAUGAAAGUUAUUAGUACAUCAAUCCCCAACUAUGGGAAGAAAACUAGCCUCUCAUGUUUCUCAUUAACAUGAGAGGAAGGUAGAUGAUUACAAGAGAAGAGAUGAAGAAAAAUGGAGAAUCCAAUAGCACAGUGUUGUUUGCUCUACACCAAGCCCUAAGUCGAUCUCUCUCAAUCCCAAGUGAAUGUGGCUUUUAUAAUGGGCCUAAGGCCUCUUUCUUGUCACUUCAUUGAACACACUGCUGGCUGGGCAAACAUAACUCGCUGGAUGAAUUCUUUGUGAAAUCCAAAAGACACUUCCUAACUGGGUUUGUUCGCUGGUUGAGCCCAACUUAUUGAGUGAGUUAUUCAAAAUUUUCAAACUAAAUUGAAAAUUCUUUCAACCAAAAGGAUUUGCUCCUUGAGAUAAUGACAUGGCUUUCUUGUUCCACUCCAAAGCUACCACGUGUGGUAGCUUCUUCUAAGGGCGAGCAUUUCUUUCCGUGACAGCUUUCCUUCCUCUCUUGUUGUCCUAAAAGUGAUAAAAACAUACUAAAAACUAAUAAUUGGUUAAAAUUUUAUUUACAAAACUAUAAUUCUAUAAAAGCACUAAAUUCUAACUAUUUGAAAUGAAACUAAGAAAAAAAAAUAAUAAUUAUGUGAAAUAAAUGCCAAAAGUAAUAAUUUACAACAAUUAUCAAUCACCAUAGAAUCAAUUUCAUAAAUAAUAGUAUGGCAAAUGAUUGAAUCCCAGUCUACAAAAAAGAUUGCCAAAAUUUGAGUAUCAUUAUAUGAGAAAAUAUUUAGUAAUUGUAUUUGCCUUCAAUUUGCAACAAUUACUUGUUAGUUUUGUAUUUCUUCUUAUUAAGUGAAGAGAUCAUGUUUAUUUAAUCUCUUUAAUCAAAAUUAGUAAGGUGCAUAAAAUCUAGGUUAUUUAGUUCUCUAAUAAUAUUUUAGAUUUAAUUUGGUUAUUUAAUUUUUUAUAUCGAUUUAAUUUGAUCCUUCAAUUUAAAUUGUAAGAAAUCAUACUUUGUAUCGAUUUAAAAUCAUCACAAAAUGCAUAUUUUUUUAAAAAAUGAAUCCAUUUAAAGAAAAGACCAAAUUAAACCAAUUUUAAAAAUUAGAGAUCCAAAUUAAAUUCAAAAAAUUAAAGAAUCAAAUUAAACUUAAAUAAUGAAUCCAUUUAAACAAUUAAAAUAUCAAAUUGAAAAUAAAUAAAUAAAUAAAGAACCAAAUUGAAUCAACUUUAAAAAUUAAAGACCCAAAUUAAAUAAAAUAAAAAAUAAAAAACCAAAUUAAACCUAAAUAAUAAAUUAGAAAAAAAUUAAUUUAACCCAAAAUCUACUUAAAGUGAAGUUUGUAACUCCUAUCACACAUUACACAUAAAUGUCCAUCUUAUAUCAUAAAUAUUUUACUAUAAACUUUAUCGAGGUGACUUUCACUAUAUUUUUUUUAUUACAUUCAUGAAAAUAAAAAAAAUAAAAACAAGAAUAUGACAAUUAUCUUAAAUUAAAAUUAAAAUAUUUCAUCAGUUUAUUUAUCUUCAAAUUAAACUUAUUUUUAUAGUUUUACAUAUUUUCUUUUUCCAGAGGAAUUGUUAAUUCAACUUUUUAUAAACAAAAUUAUAUCGUACAAUUUCAAAAUAAACUUUACUCAAGUUGUUCCACUGAGUAUUCAAAUCAAUUAGCGUGGAACUGUUUUUUCUUAAUGGGUGGUUUUGGAUUUGAGUCUAUAAAGGCAAUGGAUGCCUGGAUGGGUAUGUGAUUCAUUGUGCGUGUCCUGCCUCCCAAAAUCUAUCAUCAUCCUUGAUGGUAUGGUUUUUGGUUUCCUAUCCUCAUUUUUGGUGAUAUCAUAUAUACUUGUACUCUCUUUAUAAUUUUAAAAAAUAAAAUAACAUCAAAAAUUAAUUUGAAGAAAAAAAUGAAACAACUACAUCUGAUUUUCUAUAAAAUAGCGUCAUUAUAUAUAUCCAAGAAAAAAAGAUUUUAUCAUUCCAUCAUAUGCAUAUUCAAUCACAAACUUCUAGUUCUAUCACCAAAAUGAACGUGAAAAUCAAUCAUGGUUUGAUAGUUUACUAAUUAUUGUACUAAAAAUUUGAGAAUGACAUGAGUAUGUGAUUCACUUACAAAGACAAACAAUAACAUUAAGUAAUAUAUGUUACAUAAAAUAGAGAUAAUUUAGUUAUUACACAUAUUAGACGUAAGAACGAGAUAAAUAUGUGUAUACUCAUCGUCAUCCUUGUAUCUAAAAAUUGAGCAUUACAUGUAUCCUUACCCAUCCCUAGUCAAAGAGGGGGUUCCUUGUAAACGCAGGACGAGGUGGUACCUAUGAGUACAAAUUUGUUUAUCCUAUUUAUCAAAUCUUAAGUAUGUAUACUUGGAGAAAGAACACGGUUGUCUCCAAUAGAGGAUACUUGUUGUCAGAGAAAAAAAACUUUACUUAAUCGAGUUAUGUUAUUAUUAUUAUUAUUAUUAUUACUAUUAUUAUUAUUAUUAUUUUACAAGUUUGACUUCUUAAAAAAUAGAAGUACACUUUGAUUUGAAUUAAAAUAUUUAAUAAUUUUAAUUUUUAAAUUAAAUUUAUAUUUUUUAUUUUACAUAUUUAUUGGUUUAAAAGAAUUAAAGACUUGUUUAGUAUAAAAACUUUUUAAAUUGUAUAAAAGUUUAUAAUAAUAUUUCAUUUUUACCUUUUUAAAGAUUUAUAAAAAAACAUUAAAAAAUCAUAAUUUUUUAUACAAUUGUUUAAAACACAAAUUAAAAUAAAAACACCAUUUUUAUAAUUCUGUAUAAAAAAUAAUAAUAUAUACUUUAGAAGAACGUAUAUUUUUUUCAAGAUUAAAGAAAACUAAUUUUAAUUUUAGUAAAAAUAAUUAUGAUCAAUAUAUAAAUUGUAGGAUAAAAUAUAUAUUCAGGUGAUAAUUUUUUUAAUCUUAAUCAAAUUAAUUGAAUAAAUAUAAAAUAAUAUUUAGAUAUAAAAUAAAUCAUGUUAAAAAAAUAUUUGUUUUAUAUACAUUAACGAUCUUCGCCACAAAUUAAUUAUUAUUUUUUAUCAUCAAUAUUUAUAUCAAUAAAAAAAAUUCACAUAAUAUCUAUUUGAUAGACAUGAUUAAUGAGAUAAGGUAAUAUAAACAAUCAAAUUUUAUCUUAAUCUAUUAUUUUGUGAGCCAAUAUAAUAUAAUAGUAUGAUAAAACAAUCAAAGUUAAUAUUUUCUUAUUUUUAGUAACAUAAAUGAUAAUAUAAUUGUAAUUUAUAUUAUAUAUAUAUAUAUAUAUAUAUAAUACAUAUAUAUAAUAUUUAUUGUAAAAUAAUUUGAAAGUGAUGGUGCAAUUUGCAGGGGAAAUUUGAAAUUAUGAGGUAAUGAAGGGGCAUACUGGUAAAACAGCACAACCGACUCUGCGAAAAGCGCAUGUUGGCCUGAUAUAAACGUUCAGAGAGGGGUGUGAGAGAGAAAUCGAGAGAAAGUGAGAGAGAAUUACAGAGCAUUUUCCAACACGAUUACACGACCGAAUCAAACCCCUCUUUCUCUCCGAAGCUGCUUUUAAUAUCGUACUGGCCUUCGAUUGUUCUCCUCUUUAAUACAUACUGUUCUCUCUUCGAUUUGAGGUCACCACUCUCUCUUCUCUCGCCCUUUUCAAUUCUUUUCUUUAUUUAUGUAUUUUUUUUUAUCAUCGUCCUUUAUCAGAAUCUUUUUUUUUUCUUAUACAGGGAACAGUACAAGAGUCUGAGCAUCGGUUAACCCAACUGCACAGGUAAGGUGUCUUUAUUUCGUGUUUCUAUUUUGUGUUUCUGCGUUCGAUUUCUCCGCGGUUGUACUGGGUUGUUAUUGGUCGGACGACACGGGUUAAUUUUAUUGGUUUUUUAUUCUUCCCCUGUUUUUAAAAUUUGAUAAAAAAUGAUUUUUUUUUUUUUGUGGGGUUUUGGAUUGGUUGUGUUAUGGGUUGAAGUGGCAUGAUUCGGUUGGUGGGGGUGUUGAAAGGUGUGAUUUUUCUUGGUUCCCUUGUCCGGUUUGAGACUUGUGUUAAUUGUUCAUUUGGUCGAUCUUUGUUGCUAGACAUUGGAAGUGUUAACUGUUCUGUGGAAGUUUGUUUGUGUUGGUAAUGGGUUUGUUGGGUUUUGUUUGCAUGCUUGAAUUAUUUGUGAACUUUGAUUGUGUGUUGAUGCAUUUGUUGGAAUUUAGUGUCUGUUUUUGUUCAACGUCCGUAGAGAGGAUUCUUGGUGAGUUUGUGUUCUUCUUUUCCUUGUUUCUUAUAUGGUGGAUUGGUGGAAUGUAUUGGAAGGUUAGUGCAUGAGAGAGAAGGAAUGCUGUCAGUUCUGUUUUUAAUCCUUUUACAUGUCAAUCCAUGUGUCGUGAUGUCUAAUUGGCUUGAUCAAGGUUUUAAACUGCCGUCAUGGUAUCAUCGUGGUGUUGCGGGAAAUUGUGGACAAAUGUGCCCGUUGUGGCUGUAAAUUGUGGUUGUGGAGACUUCAAAAACCUUGAUGUUGCUGGCCAAAAUUAAGGUUAUAAACUAUUUUUUAAAACCUUGGGCUUGUUAUUGACUAUUUGGCUAUGGUUCCUGAUCGUAAUGCUUCAUUGGAUUUUGGUUGACUUGAUUUUGAUAUGUCAAACAUGAUUGAGAUGUGUGUCAUACUGGUGUAAGCUGUAAAAUGUAAACUUCCAAGGGUAAUUUGCUUGCAUUCAUUUAACUGGUCGUGAUUUCAUCGCAUUCAGUGUUGCGGGAGAUGUGGUUGUAAUUAUGGUUGUGAUCAUGGAGACUCCAAAAACCUUGACAUUUGCAGACCAUUUUUAAAACCUUGGGCUUGAUGUUGGACUAUUUGACCAUUAUUGUUGUUGAUUGUAUUAACGUGUUGGAUUUUGGUAGAAUUGAUUUUGAAAUGUUAAACAUGAUUGAGAUAUGUCGCUACUGGUGUAAACUGACAAGGGUAAUUUGCNNNNNNNNNNNNNNNNNNNNNNNNNNNNNNNNNNNNNNNNNNNNNNNNNNNNNNNNNNNNNNNNNNNNNNNNNNNNNNNNNNNNNNNNNNNNNNNNNNNNGACUGGUUUUUCUUUUCUUGUUUGUAUAUAUCUUUUCUGAGAGACUGAGGUGCUUUUCUUGCAGGUAGUCUCCAAAUAAUGGAGCCUCAUGAUGAGACUGGAUGCCAGGCUCCUGAACGCCCCAUUCUUUGCAUUAAUAAUUGUGGCUUCUUUGGAAGAGCAGCUACCAUGAACAUGUGUUCCAAGUGUUACAAGGACAUGCUGUUGAAGCAGGAGCAGGACAAAUUUGCAGCAUCAUCCGUUGAAAACAUUGUGAAUGGCAGUUCCAAUGGCAAUGGAAAGCAGGCUGUGGCUACUGGUGCUGUUGCUGUACAAGUUGAAGCUGUGGAGGUCAAGAUUGUCUGUGCUCAGAGUUCUGUGGAUUCGUCCUCCGGUGAUAGUUUGGAGAUGAAAGCCAAGACUGGUCCCAGUAGAUGUGCUACAUGCCGGAAACGUGUUGGUUUAACUGGUUUCAGCUGCAAAUGUGGCAACCUCUUCUGUGCAAUGCAUCGCUAUUCUGAUAAACAUGAUUGCCCUUUUGAUUAUAGGACUGUUGGUCAGGAUGCCAUAGCUAAAGCCAACCCCAUAAUUAAGGCAGAUAAGCUCGACAAAAUCUAGGCAUGCACUACUGAAGGUUAAUGUAUGAACCUUGAAGCUUCAUCUUCUAUAUGUAAGUUUCAUAUAUGUUGUCUUCCUGGUUUUUUAGGUGUCCUUUAGUGAUUAAAAUGAUCCAAGUCAAGAUGGCAAGGGCAUCAUUAGGGAAAACAUUUAUUGUUGGUUGGGAGAUCCACUUGUUAGCUCCAGUGUGUUUGUGCUGCUUUGAUGGACACUUUGGCUCAUUUUGUAAUUUGAUUUCCUGCUUGGUCUGCAUUUUUCUUCCUCAUUGCAUGAAAAGUAUUUCCUGCGUAGUCUUGUAUUGGUUUUGCUUUUGAAUCAUUAUAGGAAUGUUUAAUUUUUAAUGCUCAUUGCUCAAAAUACACGCAGCAAGUUCGGAUCUACUGGCAGGACUUCGUUAUUGAUAUAAUUCUCAAUUUAUUAUUGUUAUUGGCCUAUACGAAUGAGAGAAACAAUUUUCUGGAACAAAAAGAUUGAAUGAGGACCUGUGGACAAGUGCAUAGAUCCAGAGCCCUACUAGUAGUGUAGAAAUGUUAUAUGACUUAUGCUAUGAACUAAGUAUUGUUUAUAUCGCAUUACCUCGUUGUUUUCAUAUUCUGCGUCUGUCUCUAAUGUUAUUCAACAAGUGAUCAAUGUGUCCAUUUGUUACUCAAUCUAACAAUAAAUUGCGGAUCUAAACUCGAUUUUCCUUUAAAAUUCACUUGUUUAUUAGCAAGAGAAAUGAAAUAAUAUUCAGUUUUAUAAUAAUGUAUAAAAUUAACAUUUUCUCAAAACACUAUUAAGGUUUUACUUUUAUAUAUAUAAUUUCUGGCAAACAGCUUUAGCUUGUCUUUCGACCAACCAAAAGAGUAAAGACUAUAUGUGUGGGAGUAAUAUAUUUUAGGCCCAAUUUAAGUUAGAUCAAAAUAACUUCGAACUUAAAACUCAUUUUCUGUGGGAAUAAUUGGGCAAACAUCAAACUCAACCUAUUUCGGCACCCUACGAUGAAUCAAACUACUUACCCUGUUACCCAUGUGCACUUAAAUAGGCAAUUUUUGGAGCCACUUUGUCAACCUGACAGAGUGUUAAGAGGUAUAAGAUGCACUUAAGGACGGAGUCUUGGUUUAAUCAAGCCACUGGAGAUUGGAAACAAACUAUAAACCUUAGGUAUAGAUUCAAAUCCUAUUGGACGCAAAUUGUUUGCAUAUAUUUGCUUUUCAACUAACUGGCCAGGAGAGUUUACUUAUGACUUCCUUAGAACUGCAAUAGGGCCUGCUUAGUCACGUCCUUAACUGAUCUGAUUGUGAUGACAGAGUGUUAAAAGGUAUAAAACGCACAAAGGACAAAUGUAUCUUAUACAAUGAUAAUAAUGAUAAUAAAUUUAAAGUUCGGAUAUCAUACACUAAAGAUUUUCCAAAACAAUUAAAUUUUACAAGUAGUCUAAGUGAAUUCAUUUUGGAAAACAAUUUAUCAAAUACUUCGCAGAAAAAUUAAUUGCAAUAACUAAGCAAUAAUGGUUGAAAGAUUAACAUUUAACAGAUGGGAAGACCUAGGCUCUGAGUUCAAUCCAGAUAACUUCCCCCAAAUUUUUAUUCUAACUGAAUCUUAAAUUAAACUUCAAUUACUGAUAGUCCCUCCUAAUUUCAUUAAGCCUAUAUUUGGAUGAAGGGUUUUAAUCUAAGGAAUGUAAAAUUCAACAAUUUUAAUCUGCUUUCCUCAACACCUUGUUUAUUUUUCUUCUUAUAUACCCUACUUAUAGUAUCAAACAAAAUUUAUCCAGACGAAGGGAAAUUUUUUUUUACAGAGAACAAAAUAUAAAAAACUUUAUUCCAUAUGCGCAGAAAUGAAACUCGAACUUUAUUAUUGAUUUAGUUUCUUUAUCUACGAAAAAAAGUAACUUGCAGUUGCAGAGUUUAGACUCAAAGUAAAGGCAAAAAAUGAACAAGUGAGACAAUACGUAGCGCAUAAAGGGAGUGUAUUAAUACCGGUUCAAAAUAUUCUAUACCCUUACUGUCAUAAAAUGUUUUCUUUGCUGUUAUCGAGAUGUAUGAGUUGGUAUUAUCAGUUCCAGAAUAUAAGGGAUUGAUCUAUCCAUUGAGACGUCACACACUCGUUAACUUUCAUCCCUUCGAGCCAUACAUCUCAACUUGUGGUGUACCAAACGGUAGUUUUCAUGGUACAAGUAACUCAGAAUAUUUCCAGAGUAAAACUACUCAAAAGGGUUGUUUUCACCCUUUAAUAUCAAUUAAACCAAAAACAUACCCCUCCAUUCCAAAACUUUGGGUGAUUAAAGUUCUUACACACAAAUUAAAAAAUAUUUAAUACGUGUAAAUUUAGACUACAUUGCCCUCAUUUAUUAUUUUAAAACCAUACUCCCUCCGUUACAAAACUUUGGGAGUAUUAUUUACUUGACAAUUUUGCUUUAAUUUUUUUGAAAUUGAAAGCAAAUAGCCUUUAUUUUUUCUGAAUGAAAUAUUGAUUUAGCUUACUCAUUUUUUGCCAAGUAUAUAUUUCAUUUUAAAUGCACUAUUUUUCAUCGGUAGGUGUGAUUCCCAAAAAUUUAGAGUCUUUUUCGCCACAACACAUAUCUAAUAGUUAUAUUAGUAUACAUAUAAUUCAGCAAAAAAUAUAUAUUAGUAUACAUAAAAUAAAAUCAGAUUUAUUUUAAAUAUCUGUUUUAAAAUAAAUUAAUGCUAUUAUUAAAUAAAUUUUAAAAACAAAUUUUAUUACAUUGAUUUCGAUAUCAUACUAUAUUACUCAUAAAUUUAUAUUUCACAAAUAUGGGGUUUCAAACCUUUCGUUCGCAAACUUUAGUUAAAUUAAAUUUCAACUAAUUUAUAGAUUUACCUGUAAACAUUUUUUUCUCUGUGAUAAUCGAAGACACCAUCAGGAUUUACAACAACUCAUGCUUUUAGAUCUCCUUGACUACCUAUAAAUAUUUUAAAUCACAUUAAAAAAUUAAAUUUAUUUUGAAAUAGGAAAAUAUUUUAUUUUAGCAACAUUUAUAGAUUCUUUUUUCUACUUUGCUACAGCCUCAUAUAAACCACUCCUCCCAGAAUAAAUUUAAUGACUUCUUCACAGGUUCCCCAACAUAAGCCUCUGAAGCUAAAUUUAAAGUGGGGUUCGCAGUAUACAUUCCAUAUAGUUUUAGGCCCUUAAUAGAAUAAAUACUCCCCAAAACAAUUUUAUUUUUGGUUCCAUACCAGCACAGCUAAAUUAACAGCAAAAUAUGUUGCCUUACAAUAGAAAUUUCUUUCAAGUGAAUCGUUUCUAUUGUAAUUUUUUAAUCAUGGUAGAAAAAAAUAGUAAACAUUGUUAUACAACUAUAAAAUGUUUUGAAAUCAUGUAGAAGAGUUGCUUGAUAAGGGAAAUACAUUGUUGCAAUAGAAACAAAUUUGGCCAUGAACUCUUUACAGAGAACAAGCAAACCCCUCAGUUACAUAUUAUAUUUGGGUAGAGCAAACAAGUGACGAAUCCUCCUGAUAAUGAUAUGCCAAAUCAUCUUAUGGAAUAGUCUAUGAAAAUAGAAAGAAAAAAAAGGUUGAUUCAAUCAUGAUUUUACCAAGAAUUAAAAUGAAGAAAACAAAUAUUUUGAAAGGGAUCUUUAUCAAUUUCGAGGCAGACUAAUAGUAAGAUUUUCAUCAAGGGUUGCAAUUUUUUUUAUUAGUGGGAAAAUAAGAGGGUUUCAAAUUAAAUAAAAAUAAACAUAAUUUUGUAUUCAAUUACACUCUAAUGUUUUGUACAUUCAAUUCUCCAAAUCAAUUUGAUUGAAUUCAUACGAAAAAUAGUGAGUAAUUGUUGAAAUUAGGAAAACAAUUAAAUACAUCCCACAAAUCCAGUGUAGUAGUUAAUGAAAAAGAUUUCUUAAAAAGAUAAUAAUUAGAUCUAAAAUAAAUUGAUUUUUUUUAAAAAUAUUGAAACAGGGAAUUUUAUUUUAUUUUUGCUUAAAAACAUGAGGCAUCAAACAUAGUAUAAUUAACAUAAAUCAUUUAUAUAAUUGUUUUUUAUUUUUAAAAAGAAUAGCAAAAUGAAGAUUACUAAUUUACCCAGCGCCAACUAUUUAUAUAUAUAUAUAUAAAGUUUUUUUUCAUUCCAGUUAUUAUAAGUGAGACGAAAUUUGCCGUAUUUGAUAUAUGAUUUGUGUUAUUCUCUUUGUUUUAAAACAUUAGUCUUUUUAGCUUUUUGUUUUUGUUUCAAAAUAAUGGUUCUUUUAGUUUUUUUUUAAAUUAUUUUCCCAACAAUACCUUAUACAUGACAUCAAUUAAUACUUACACUGAAAAUAGAUAUUUAUCAUAAAAAAAAGUUAGUGGACAAUAAAAUGUAUCAUUAUUGGUGGUUAGUGGGAUAUUUUGUGUCAAAAGUAGUUGAAACAAUGAGGAUAUUUUAGUCUAAAAGUGUCACAAACUUAAAAUACCAUUAUCUUGUACUGAAGGAAGUANNNNNNNNNNNNNNNNNNNNNNNNNNNNNNNNNNNNNNNNNNNNNNNNNNNNNNNNNNNNNNNNNNNNNNNNNNNNNNNNNNNNNNNNNNNNNNNNNNNNAAAGUAUAAAAAUAAAAUCUUUCAAAAAUAUAAGUGACCAAAAUAAGAUUUUUAAAACUUAAUGUACUAAAAUAUAAAAUAUCAAAAAUAACAUUUAAUUUUUAUUUUAUAGUAGUCAAAUGUAUUCCCUACUAUAGGUUUAGAUAGCCUUGGAGUUUGUUCAUCUCAUGGGUCUUGGCUCAUAUCCCCCCAUGAUGUUCUUGUUCAUUUUGACUCUUUCAGUUAUAAUAUUUGCAAGUUGUGUUGCUUCUGUGUGAGGGUUGUUGAGGUUUCAACCUAGUUUGGGAUGCCAUCAAUCCUCAUACUGCAAUCUAGCCUUUUUUGCUAAAAAAAAUCCAUUGUUUGUGUAUUUCUAAUUUAAUGCUAUCUAUCGGUUAAGGAUGUGAACCUUAGUCUGCUCUUGUUUUUGUCCUAUUCUAUAAUUCAACCAAUAUGCCUUUAAUUGUUUUUUUUUAUCCGUUCAAAUUGAAGGAAAUUUACAAGAAUUUAUGCAACAAUUGCACUCAAUUAUCUGAGCUAGACUUUAUGGAUUCCCUUUAACGGGUUUAACAAUCCAAAAGUAAAACAUAAAAGGAAAACGAAAAAGGAAGGGGAGGUUGAAAAGGAUAUAUUUUUCAUAACAUUCAUAACAAAAGAGAUGUGUCUAAAUCUUUGGCACUAUUCAUAACAUUCAUAUAAACAUGGACAGCAAAAUCACACAAAAGGUCCCCACCGUAAGCCUCAUAUUGGUACUGUGAGAGGCUAAGCUAUGGAAAGUGUAUUAUUAUCCCUCAUGGCUUUCUUCAAUGCAAUAAGUGGAAUUUGAUAACAAACUUGCCUUUCCCUCGCAGCCACCAUUUCGUGUCUGGUUUCUUUAUCAAAAGACAAAUUUCACGACCUGACUCCUUAGCUGUGAUCUGUGUCAUUUUGGGUCAGUGGAAUAUUGCAAACCAAGAGGGCAGCAGAAACACCCAUGUCCAUCUUUCUUGUAUACAUAAUUGAAACUCAAAUGUUUUUAUACAUAGUAGUACGAUACUAAAGUAAAUUCUUUCUUUGGAUGCUCAAAUUAAGGUUUGGUAUUUGUUAAUUGAAAAAUAGACUGUUGAUAGUGUGUGAAUAUGCCUUAUUCAGAUUUUUAAGUGGGACAAAUUGACAUGUGCCGAAACAGCAAUAUAUACAGCCAAUUUCCCAAAGUACAUACCGUCAAUUAAUCUUCUACUUGAUAUAAACAUGGAGUCACUGAGAAUAGAAUGUGAUUAAUAGCAUUGUGCAUCUACUAUCCAAUCUAGCUGGUCAAAUUAAAGAGACUACAAACAUAAGAGUAAAUAGUUUCUAAUUAGAUACAUUAAUAAUAAUUUCUAAUUAAAUAAUUGUGUAAGUCAAAGAAAUUAAACUCCAAAUAUAAAUCUUAAUUUUACAGAUAAAAGUCGGUAUCAAUGGAAAUAAUGAUUCCAAAGGGCACGCAUAGCUUUGAUGCCUUUGACUGCUAUGAUCGAUGUGCCAAACAAAUACUCCCAUCCGAUUUCGCACCUAAACAAUUAUUCUAUUCUAAACAUUUUUAAUUAUUGUUACAGUCUUCAUUAGUACUACAAUAUAUAUUAUGUUAAUAUAUGAUCGACUUUAUUAGUAGGUAAUCAAACAUGAUGAUACAUGUAAGAUGAAAAAGAAAAAGAAAAAAACUAGAGUCUCACUUUCUUGGUUUUUCUUUCAUGGUCCUGAUUAAUAAAAAGAAAAUUAUAUAAGGUGGUUAAUUUUGUGGUGACAUGGCCUAAUGCCAUCUAAUUAGUCCUCAGUGAUUGAUGAUAAUGUAGCUAAUUGGACAGGGGUUUUGGUACGAUGCAGAGAAAAGUCAAAGGAAUUGAUUGGGCACUGCUCACUGCCACCAAAUUAUUAUAGUACUAAUUUAUACCAAAAAAUGUUAAACUCUUUUCGUUUGUCUUUUUGCUACUGUCUUUCGUUCUUUCUUGUCAUUCAUUUUUUUUGCUUAAAUCCUGCAGGGUGCUACAUUACUCUAUACGAAGAAUCUAAAGGGUUUCUGAUGAAGGGGGGCUUCACUUCUAAGUGUAUUUUGGCUCUAGGAGGUUCUCACUUUUUCUUUGGAUUUUUCCUCUUUCCAUUUAUCCCCUUUUCCUGGUCACACUGCAGGGGUUCAGCAAUUUUCGUUAUUGUCCUUCGGUCUUCUUUCAGAGACUUGGACACUUUCACAGCAAAACCUCAAAUAAUGGGCACUAGUAUCAUGGUAUGUCUAAGACAAAAUUAAAGUCAACUAUUAACAAAUCACCUGCAAAAAUGCUAGAUCAGUAGAUGCACUGAAGUUUGAAGCAGUAAGUAAAAAAAAGAAAAAUAAUUAGUCUUAAUUAAAUCAUAAAAAAUAUAAAAAAUUCUUUGGUAAACAUCACAAGUAUAUUUUAAAUGAAAUUAAUAUGCUGCUUGAGAUUAUUAUAGACGAUAAUUUUUUUAACAUUUAAUAUAAUUUUUUAAAAAUAUUUAAUAUAAUUACAUACUUAAUAUAUAUAUAUAUAUAUAUAUAUAUAUAUAUAUAUAUAUAUAUAUAUAUAUAUAUAUAUAUUAAUUAGCUGCAUUUUUUAGAAUUUUAGAAAUAAUAGUAUCUACUUGUCAAAUGUAUGAGUAAAUUAUGUUUUUCGUUGUUUGUCUUUUUACAAAAUCUAUUUUAGUUCUUCAAUUUCUUUUACCAAUUUUUGUCUCUUAGAUAUUUUUUUUAUUGAUUUUAGUCUUUCAAUAAUUUUUUUGAUAGGUCUUAGUCCAAUAACUUUUGUUUGCCAUUGUUUUUAGUCAUUCUUAUUAAUUAUCAUUGUUAAGCAAUUAUUUGAUAAUCAUAUAAUUUUCCACAUGAAUUAUUAAUAUGAUGUAAUAAUCAUCCAGUAAAGUAUUGUUGGUUUAGAUAUUUUGGCGAUUUUAAGGCGUUGCAGAUUUUCUAAUGGUAUAAAACUGUUAGAAAGAGAGAUUGAAUAGUUUAAAUCGGAGGGGGGAAAGGCCAUGCCACGAUGCUGUGAAAGUGAGACGAGUCCAUGCGAUGGAGAGGAAGGAUCUUUCUCUUAAUUGCUUUGUGAUUUGCUUAUUCUUACCUUUUUUUUAGGAGUGGUUGAUUUUGUGUUUUGGAUCAUGGAUUUAUGGGUUGCUGAUUUGUGUAAAUGCUUCUUUGUGGUUUAUUGAUUUUACUUAUUGCAUUUUUUUUCUUCACAAUUUCAAACCUUUUUUUUAUAGUAAUUUUACAAUGUUAGAAAAUUUGUAACACCUUAUAAUUGUUAGAAAAUGUCUUGUACUAAAAAUAAUUUAUUAUAUGAUUGUUGCAUUAUAUUAGUAAUUCACAUGAUACAUGAGGAUGGUUGUUUCACAUCAUUGUCUAAUGGUGAUAACUAAUUAAAAGAACUAAAAAUAAUAAUAGAUAAAAAUUGAAGAACAAAUAUUGAUUAAAAAAUUAUUAAGGGAUUAAGAUCAAUAAAAAAAUGUUGAAGGAUUAAAAUUGAUCAAAAAAUUAUUGGAAAAUUAAAAUUAAAUUUCAUAAAAAGAUGAAAAAUACAAAUAUAAUUUAUUUAAAAAUUUUACAUGUGAUUACCAUGUUAUAUUAGCAACAUAAUUAUUAUAUCAUUACUUAACAAUAAUUAUUAUAUCAUUACUUAACAAUUAAAAUUAAUAGAUAUCAAGAUUGAACAAAACUUUAUUUAGAGACUAAAAACAAAAAUCAUAAAAAAUUGAUAGAAAAAAAGAUACUUUUGUCCCAAAUAAAAUGAUGAGACAAAUACAAUAGGAAAUCAAACAUUAAAUCCUGCAACAAAUUUAACUGUCAAGGCACAUUUUGCAUAAUUUCUCCCAAGAUCCAGAAGAUUAUCUGGGAAUAAAAAAAAACUCAAAUAUGUCAGAACUUUUGGCGAGUUUUGAAUUUAGAAAGAGAAACUAUCCUCGUGGGCCGUGACCCUGUUCUGUUGAUAGAAAUCAUACAAAAGUUAAGAAUCUUUUGAUAUUAUGUGGAUACUGUUAGGAACUUUUUGGAUUUCGCCCACUCUUGUCAGAGAAAGUGGGCAUUUUAUGAUUCCCUUUCUCCGUUUUAAAACACAUCUAGGACAUCUCAGCUUCUGUAAUGUUAAACUCAUUUUUGUUAUUGGUUCGGGUAAUAUUUAUGAGAAUAUAUUUGUACAUUAUUAUUAUUACUAUUAUUUACUUAAUAUAAUAAUAAUAAUAAUAUUAUGUAUUUAAUCUAAUUACUUUGCAUAAGCGAUGAUGUUAAACAAAUUCAAAAUAUAUUUUGAUAAGUUUUGUUAUAAAUAUAUUUUGCAUAAAUUUCAAAAUUUAAAAAUAUAUUGGGUAUAAUUAUUAAUAUUUUUUAUUUAGCUUUAACAUCACGAAAAUUUUCAUUAUAUACACUCUGAAUUUGUUUAAUGGUUUUUACUAAUACAUUUCUUGAAUAUUGCGACAACCAAAUUUUAAAACGACUUAUUAAUUAGUUGCUUAACAAUUUCUUAAUUUAAAAUGAAAUAUAUAGUUAAAAAGGAUAUAAUAUUUAAUAUAUUAAAAAAAUUGUAUAUUUUAACAAAUGGUUUUUAUUUUUAAAAUUAUAAUAAAUAAACUAAGAGAAUUUACUAAUAUUUGUUAUUCUUAAAUUUAAUUAUCAUCAUGUUUAAUUAAAAAAUAUUUAAGAACUUUAUAUAAUCCUAUUGAAUGAGUUAUUAAGAAUAUCAUAAUCUUUUUGCAUCAUUAAAUUAUCAUCUCUCCAUAAAAUUAAUUUUGUAUAUAAUAUAAAACAAAAGCAUUAUGGAGAAACAAUGUUUCUUGAUUUUUUUUUAAAUUAUACAUCAAACUUAAAAACUAAGAGGGUGUUUGGUUUGGUUGUUUUCUGUUUUUCAUUUUCACUGAAAAUAGAAAAAAAUGACGAUAAAAAUGUAUUUGGUUAGAUUUCUGUUUUCAUUUUCAGUGGAAAUGUUUUCUCAAACGAGCCAGAAAUUGGAAACAAUAAAAUCUCAUUUCGAGUAUUUUCAGUUGAAACCAAAAAUCUCAUUUUAAAUAAAAAUGAAAACGCGGUGUAAGAGAUGUAAUUUCAAACAAAUUUAAAAAUAUAUUUUAUUUUAAAAAUGCAUUUUUAAUGUUUUUAUUUCUUGAAAGCAAAAAAAAAUAAUCAAACUAAACAUAUUUUCAAAAUUCUAAUAUUCUAAAACUGAAAAUAAUUUUUAAAAAAUAAAAAUAAAAAAUGAAAAUAAAAAAUAAAAAUACAAACUAAACACACUCUUGACAUUUUCAACUUCUUCCUUUUCCCUAUCAAAGGCCUCUCAACUCCCAAGCUCUCAUCCACCAACACCAUAUUUAACUCCAUGAAACAUGUUAGAGAAUUAGAGGAAUGAACAUGAACGGGCUGCAAUUUUCAUCUCAAACAGUGAAUUUAACUCAUACAGGGCAAAAAGUUAUUUUAAACAAUAAAGUGAAGAGUUGUAUAUAAUUAUUGAUAAAAAAAUUACAUUAAUGAUUAAUAUUAUGAUUAAAUGUAUAAUAAACUAUGUAAUUAUUUCAAUUUUUAUUAAUAAUUAUACUUUUUUUAUCCUCUAAAAUAAAUCCUUUACUUCCACUAAAAAAAAAAAAAUCCCUUACUGCAGGAGCUAGAUUCAUUAAUUUGUGUAGUCCUCCACCGCUCAAUAAAUUGCAUGUAUAAGAGGAUCUAUGAGUUCAUGUCUAAUACACUUGUUUCCGUUGGUGAAAUGUAAUAUUCCUCUCCCUCAAAUCAAAGAGCCUUUGUCAUUCACUCUUCCUGACCUACUCUAAAUUGUGGAUCCCAUGCAUAAAAAAGAGCAGCAACGAUUACCAUAAAUUAUAAAUCAUAAACAAUUGUGAUUAUUUAUUAAUAGGAGGGUGUCUAAGUCUUUUAUUUUUUGUAAUAAGAAAAGGGGGGUCGGAAAUAAAAUAUUGUAGAAGCAGUGUAUUAGUAUUAUAUUACUGUUAACGAUACUUGUCCGAACUUAUCUUGACCUCCGUCACCGUCUUAUUUUAUUAUUUGGACUUCAUAUAAUUCCAAAUGAGUCUGAAACCUGCCAUGGGGACCUCUGUCUCUCAUCAACACUAUCACUCACGAGAAGCCUUUCUUCCAUGCCCCCUUUUCGUCCUCUUAUUCACACACUUGUUUCUUUCUAAUAAAUAUUACUCUCUUUGCUUUUUUUAAGUCCGUUGGUUCAUCCCAUAUUAUAUGCGACACCUAGUGCUCCUAAUAUAUUAGUACAAGUUUUGAAUUCUUGCUUUUUUAUUUUAUUUUAUCGUGUCAUCAUAUGUUUGAAAUAUCCUGUGAAAAUGAUCGAUCAAAAUUAUGACAAAAAUCAAUAAUCAAAAGUCAAUACUCAAAAUUUGUAAAUACUGAUAAAAAUAAUUCCUGUAUAACUACACCAAUGUUAUAAUAUAGCUUUUGGAACUCACACUAUUAAACACUUAGAACUCAAAUUUUUAAAAGAUUCAGCCUAAUUCCAUGUGAAAAUCAAUCACAUGUUGGUGUUGUUAAUUUUGUUUAAUACUAAAGCUAAGGUGCCAAGUUUAAUGAAAAUUUUUGUUUCAUACUUGGGGCAAAUCAAAGUUCUCUGACUUGUGAAUUCUGACGGUCAAUUAGAGACCCCACGUAGGAACACAAAUUGACAAUGUUGGCACGUGACCCGGUGACCGUGCCAAAACGUCUUCAAUGCAUUGAAUUGGUUGCCGUGGUAAUCCUAAAUAAAAACGUUUGGGCGUUCCAAGGUCAAAUCCCGGGGCCACUAUUUAGCUUCUUUGGAUUCUAUUUUGCAACGUUGAAAAAACUUCACUUCUUUUUCUCUUCUUGGGGGUGAAAAGUUCCGCGAUAUUAGUGACUCGAUGGUCUAUAACAGUAACAACUAUUUUCGGACAAUGGCUUGUAACUUUCUCUGCUCACAUUGUUUGGCCCUGUUUCAGAGAAUUUGGCUACUAGUAGUAACAAUAAAUACAUAUACUAAUAAGUGGAAACAAAACAGAAAGGUAAAAUUAAAUAUGAGUCGGGUAGAGUGUUGAAAUUAAGCUUAACUUAUAGUACUACAUUACUCAUACAAUAAUUUUUUUUUUUUAUAAUUUUAAGGUCAUAAGGUGAUAGAAGUAUUCAUAUUAGGAAGAUAUCUAUGAUUAUGUAAACAGAUCAUUUACUUUUAGUAUAUGUAAAAUGCCAUUUUUUGUUUGUUUAUUUGCUCUAGAAAUGUGUUUUUAACAAAUAAAUACUCAUAUAUGAAAAAUAAGAAUUACAAGCAACACAUUUUCAUGAAUGAUAAAUAUUUUUUAAGGAACAAAAACAAACAUUAGUAAACACUAAAAACAUAUUUAAUCUUAUAUUUUAUAAUAUUAUGUGUUUUUCUAUCUUUUCAACACAUUUGAUAUUUUUACCUUAUACUUUUUUUUUAAUAUCUUCACUUCUCUUCCUUUACUGUGGAAAUUAUUGUACCAUUUUCUUGUCCAAAUACAAUUCCUUUUGACACACCGCAGUGUCAUGAAGGGGUAAAAAAGUCUUACAAAAAGAGAGAGAAAGAGAGACUUUUGUGGUUUUUAUCAACAAAUUCCUCAAUGGCCAUGAUGAGUUUUUUCACGUAAAAAUGCAAGCUUUUUUCUCUCCAGCCCAUCAAGCUCCAGCAAUAUCUCUAGAGACAGAUUUGACAUUCCCACACACUAAGCACUGAUAUAUAGAAACCGUUGUUGAAAAUAGCACAUAGCAAGUUCUUUUGCAGACACACCAAGCUAAUGGCUACUACCACAUUCUGUACAUACCUAUUCCUUCUCUCUGUGUACCUUUCAAUCUUCAUUAAUCUUAGUUCAUCUUCUUCAGAAGGUAAUAUUCUUCUCUCCUUCAAGGCCUCCAUUGAAGAUUCUAAGAGGGCCUUGUCUAGCUGGUCCAACACUUCCUCAAACCACCACUGUAACUGGACUGGAAUCACUUGCUCCACCACACCUUCACUUUCAGUAACUUCUAUCAACCUUCAAAGCUUAAACCUUUCUGGAGAUAUCUCAUCUUCAAUAUGUGACCUUCCAAAUCUGUCUUAUCUUAACCUUGCUGAUAACAUCUUCAACCAACCCAUCCCUCUUCAUCUCUCUCAGUGCAGUUCCUUGGAGACUUUGAAUCUCAGUACCAACCUCAUAUGGGGCACUAUCCCGUCUCAGAUUUCUCAGUUUGGUUCAUUGAGAGUGCUUGAUUUGAGCAGAAACCACAUAGAGGGAAACAUUCCUGAAAGCAUAGGCUCCUUGAAGAACCUCCAAGUUCUCAACUUGGGAAGCAACUUGCUUUCAGGUAGUGUACCUGCUGUCUUUGGAAAUCUAACUAAACUUGAAGUCCUUGAUUUGUCUCAGAAUCCUUACUUGGUGAGUGAGAUUCCUGAGGACAUUGGUGAGCUUGGAAAUCUAAAGCAACUUCUGUUGCAAAGCUCUUCUUUUCAAGGUGGAAUUCCAGAUUCUCUGGUGGGCAUUGUCAGCUUGACCCAUUUGGAUCUCUCUGAGAACAACCUAACAGGUGGGGUUCCAAAGGCUCUACCGUCUUCUCUCAAGAACCUGGUUUCAUUAGAUGUUUCACAAAACAAGCUUUUGGGGGAAUUUCCAAGUGGCAUAUGCAAGGGACAAGGCCUUAUUAACCUCGGUCUCCACACAAAUGCCUUCACUGGUUCAAUACCCACCUCCAUUGGUGAAUGUAAGAGUCUUGAGAGAUUCCAAGUCCAGAACAAUGGUUUCUCUGGAGAUUUCCCCCUUGGAUUGUGGUCAUUACCUAAAAUUAAGCUCAUCAGAGCUGAAAACAACAGAUUCUCAGGGCAGAUACCUGAGUCAGUUUCAGGAGCUGUUCAGUUGGAGCAAGUUCAGCUUGACAACAACAGCUUUGCUGGUAAAAUUCCUCAAGGUCUUGGCCUUGUCAAGAGCUUAUACAGAUUUUCUGCUUCUCUCAACCGUUUCUAUGGUGAACUUCCUCCAAACUUUUGUGACUCUCCUGUUAUGAGCAUAGUAAAUCUCUCCCACAAUUCUCUUUCUGGUGAAAUCCCAGAGCUCAAAAAAUGCAGGAAACUAGUUUCAUUGUCUUUGGCUGACAACAGUCUAACAGGAGACAUACCCUCUUCCCUUGCUGAGCUACCUGUGCUUACUUACCUUGAUCUUUCACAUAACAAUCUCACUGGUUCAAUCCCACAAGGGCUUCAAAACUUGAAGCUUGCUCUUUUCAAUGUGUCCUUCAAUCAGCUAUCAGGUAAAGUACCAUACUCCUUGAUUUCAGGUCUCCCUGCCUCAUUUUUGGAAGGAAACCCUGGUCUUUGUGGCCCUGGAUUGCCUAACUCUUGCUCUGAUGACAUGCCAAAACACCACAUUGGUAGCAUCACAACCUUAGCAUGUGCCCUCAUCUCUUUAGCCUUUGUUGCUGGAACUGCCAUUGUUGUUGGUGGGUUUAUUUUGAAUAGGAGAUCUUGCAAGAGUGAUCAAGUAGGGGUUUGGCGCUCGGUGUUCUUCUAUCCACUCAGAAUUACUGAGCAUGAUCUGCUUACAGGGAUGAAUGAGAAGAGUUCAAUGGGAAAUGGUGGGAUUUUUGGUAAAGUUUAUGUUUUGAAUUUGCCUAGUGGUGAACUAGUAGCUGUGAAGAAGUUGGUUAAUUUUGGAAACCAGUCCUCAAAAAGUUUGAAGGCUGAGGUCAAGACUUUGGCAAAAAUCAGGCAUAAGAAUGUUGUUAAAAUUCUUGGGUUCUGCCACUCUGAUGAGUCAGUGUUUCUCAUUUAUGAAUACUUGCAUGGAGGGAGCUUAGAGGAUUUGAUUUCUAGUCCGAAUUUUCAGUUGCAGUGGGGAAUUCGAUUAAGAAUUGCCAUUGGAGUUGCUCAAGGACUGGCAUAUCUUCACAAGGAUUAUGUCCCUCACUUGCUUCACAGAAAUGUCAAGUCAAGUAACAUUUUGUUGGAUGCAAACUUUGAGCCAAAACUCACAGAUUUUGCUCUUGAUCGAGUUGUGGGAGAAGCUGCUUUUCAAUCAGUUUUGAACUCUGAAGCAGCAUCUUCAUGUUACAUUGCACCAGGUAUGAGAAUUACGAAUCACUCAAUUACAUAAAGCACUAAUUGAAAAUGCAUUCUCCCGUCAUUGAACAAACUCAUGCAAUUCAUAGAAUUUCCUUUUGAUACAAAUCAAGACCUAUAUGCUUUGCUUGAAUGUUCACUUUAUUGUGAAAGUGCUUGAUUUUGUAUGCGAACUCUUGAGAUGAUUCAUUUUAGUACUUCUUAACCUUGGCUUCUGAUUGAUGACUACUCUCUCUGCAAAUUUUGCAUUAGAAUGGGUUUGAGUGGCAUGUUAGCUGAUAAAUUCCACAGGACUUUAGUGGAUUUCAAUAGAGUUGCAUCAUCGUACUUGGCUAACUAUAACUGCCUAAAUUAUGUACUAUAUUUUCACAAGAAUAUCCAGUAAACCGAUUUAUAACUCAUUUUAUUAAAUAUAUUAUUGAUAGAAAACAAUGCAUAGAAUAUCAUCAAUAUGAAUGCUGGCAACAAAUAUUUAAUUUUGCUUAUUGUAUAAGUUAGCCAAUAAACAUUGACAUGCUAACUAACUCUAUUGUUGCAUUGCAGAAAAUGGCUACACUAAGAAAGCAACUGAACAAUUGGAUGUCUACAGCUUUGGUGUGGUAUUGCUAGAGCUAGUGAGUGGCAGGCAAGCAGAGCAAACAGAGUCAAAUGACUCACUUGACAUUGUGAAGUGGGUCAGAAGGAAAGUGAAUAUCACUAAUGGGGUGCAACAAGUUCUUGACCCUAAAAUAUCACACACUUGUCACCAAGAAAUGAUUGGAGCUUUAGACAUAGCGCUUCAUUGCACUUCUGUGGUGCCUGAGAAAAGGCCAUCCAUGGUAGAAGUUCUAAGAGGCCUUCACUCCUUGGAGUCAAGAACUUGCAUUGCAAAUUUGCAUGAACCAAAUGAGGAACCCUCCAUUCCAGUCUGAACUUCUAUGUUCCAACUCAAAGACUGCCUUGUUUUUUGUUGAGUCUUUGUAUGUAAAUUUUAAGCUUUGUAUUUCACAUCAUUUUUUUUCUUUUCAAUCUGAUGAUUAUAUAGGAAUGGUUUGGCCACGAUACAUUCUAUGUUUGGCAUUGAAUUCCAAGUGUUAAUGAUACUCAGGAGUACCAUCACGUAUUUGUUUAGACACAUACUUUAAUGAUGUAGGCUCAAGGUCGAAGUAGAUAACACCAGCUUCACUAUAUUAUUUUAUUUUUCGUUCUGUCCUUAUGGCAGUAGGCUGUGGAGGAACCAACUAUACUAUACAUAAAGGAAAAAGUUCGGCCAAUGCUGUAAAAAACAAGUGAAUUUUUUUAUAUUGGCAAAAAGAAUGAGUUGAUAGAAGAGGGAAGUAUUUGAGUCAUGAAAAGUGGUUUGACAUGUUACAUUGUGUCUCAAUCUUAAUUUUUUUAUAAAUAUUAUUCAUAAUAACAAUUUAUUUAUUCAUAAUAAAUUAAAAAUAUAAUAUAUACGUAUAUUAAAAAGUAUUUAUUUGUUAUAAAUUUUAAUUUCUUUACAAAUACACAUUUUAAUUAUGAUAUAAUUUAUAUAUUAAAAAUAUUUAUUUAUUUACUUUAGUUGUAUAAAAUAAUCAUUUAUCAUGUCAUUCCUAUGCAAUGCUGAUAAACUCAAAAAGUGAUUCAAUUUAUUUUGGAUUAAAGCGGUAUUGGUAGUUGGAAUUGCGAUCUUUAUUGUUGUGCUUUGGCAUGUCAUUAAUAAAGUCUCACUUCCUCAUUUUACACUUUUAUUUUAUUUUAUAUAAAUAUUUAAAUUUUAUUAAUGUUUUAUUUACUAUUAUCUUUAAAAAUAAUAAUCAAAGAAUAUAAAAUAUUUUUUUAUUAAAAAAACAAUGUUCACUUCCUUUUUAAAGAGUGGGAUUUUAUAAUAUUAAAAAAAAAACAAAUGCAUGUCUUUCUCUCUCUUUGCAAACAAGGAAAACAAAUGCGUAUACUCUCCAAUUUAUUUUUGCAUUGGUUGAUGUUGAACUUGAUCCCAUCAUAACAAAAUUCUUAUUUUUCUUGUAUUUGGUCACAUUGUGAUGCUUGGCUGAUAAAGCUCCUUCAACGGUAGUUUUUCUCUCGUGAAUCUUCUCUAAUCCUAGGCUUGCAAGGCAUGCAUCACUUCUGCCGAAGAGAUAUUGGACAGAUUCUUCGUAAUUUCCAAAGUGGUUAUUGAUGCAUGCUUAACAUCUCUCGCACUAUAACUAUAAUUUUUUCAACAAUUAUGGAUUUUGCAAAUAUAGUAUCCAACAAUCUAACCUUAUUAGCAAUGCCAAGUUUUCUGUUUGAAUACCCUUUAAUUGUCUUGAUUCAUCUUUUGUACCUCAAAUUCCUUCAUCAGGUUUAACACUUGCAUGCCACAAAUAUAUUCAUCCCCUUCAUACUCUUCCUUUAAAUAGUCCCAAUUUUCUUUGGGUGAAUUAAGAGUCAUGAUCAUGGUGAAGAUCAUUAGAGAAACACCAACAAAUAGGCAAGUCUUUGCCUUAUUGGUUUUUUUUCCUCCUUGUGAUGCUUUAUUUAGGUCAUGGUGAAAUUUUUAGGCAAAGACAUUUCAUAAUCCUCUUUCACAACAUUCCACAAAUCAAAAGACUUUAUGUAGAACUUUAUUUUCACCUUCCAAAGGUCAUAACUCUUUCCAUCAAAGACAAGAAAAGCAAUUUGCAAGAAACUAGAUUUAAUAUUCAUUUCACAGGUUCCUCAAGAAAAAAUGUAAGAGAGAAAGAAAAAAUAAAAAAUAAAUAAUAGAGAAGAAAGUGAGUUUAAUUUGGAACAACUAACACAUUUUUUUUUAUGAAUAAACCUUAUAUUUAAAUAAAUGAAUAAAAAAUCAUGCUCCAUUUUGCUUACUAAUAAUUUAAAAAUAGAAUCAGAAACUAAUUUAAAAUUUGAAUUCAAACUCACUUAUUCACUAACAAGAUAAUAACUAACUCAAAUGAAAAAUCAAAACAUUCUAAGUAUAAAAAUAGAAUAAAAUAUUAAAAACUAUAAACUAACAUUUUAAAAAGUAUAGCAUUUUUAAAAAAUGUAAUGUUAAAAACUAUUAGAAAAUCUUGUUUGUUGGACACACAAAUAAUUUUUUUUUAAAAUGCUAGAAAUUAAUAAAAAAAUAUUAAAAAUUAAUUGAAAUCACUUGUUAAACAUAAUUUAAAUAUUUCAAUAUCUUCUUUUCUUCUCUUUAUUUCUAGAUAUCCAUUUGAUACAUUGCAUGAUUUACAUGUAAGUAUCCAAAAAAUUAUUUUUCAAUUUCCCAAAAAUAAUUUAUCUUUGUUUUUAUUUUCGAUUUAGAUUAAAUUUUAAUUUUGACCAUCCUUUAAUUUUUUAUUCUGAACUUGGGUUUUUUUUUUGUUAUUUUAAUCCCAUGUUUUAGCAAAUUCACAACUAUAUAUAAAUAUAUAUAAAAUUGAGAAUUUAUCAAUAUUGUGAAAUAAUUUAAUCAGUUAAAAUGUAAAAAUAAAAUAAAUAUAUGAAAAAUUUAAAAAUUGAACUAAAAUUUCAAAUUUUCUAACAUGAGAGAACUAAAAUCUAAAAAAAGAGACCAAAAUUUUGGAUGAGGAAUUAAAGGGAAAUCCAAAUGAUAAUUUGACCAUUUUUUAAUCUGCUUAUAGUUUUUUAUCUACCCUCUUUUAUGUCUAUGUACAAAUUGAAUUUUAAUAAUAUUUUAAAAAUUAUCAAUAAUUAGAAAUAACCUUCAUUGUUCAUUUCAAUAAUGUUCUAAAAGAAAUUGUCAAUAGUUAAAACAUUUUUAAAGAUGUUUAUUUAUUAUGAUUUUUAAUUAUAUACAGAUAAAUAUUUAUCUGUAUAUUUCAUAAAUUAAAAUACUAAUUUUUAUUUAUUUAUAUAUUUUUUAUUUAUCUAUAGUAUAUAAUCAAAUAAAUACAUCAAAUGAUAAAAUAAAGUGUUUAAUAUAUUAAAGAGAUUUUUAGUUAAGUCUUAAAUGUUUAGUUUAAAAUAUUAAAUGCACAUUUACUAAUUUCCUUUUAGAUUUUAAAGGAAUUCGUCGGUGUAAAUUCUAUUUUAGACUAAAUAUUUAACCCUUACAUUGGAUUUGACGGUUUAAGAUAAUAAAUAUAGAAAUCGAAUGCAUUUAUCAAAUUAUAAAUAAAAAAAAUGAUUUUUUUUAUAAUAAUUUAUACAAUAGUAACAUUUUUGUAUCUAUUUCUCUUUUGCACAUAAUUUAUUAUAUGUGAUAACGAAGAGACAUAAAUAAAAAAUAAUUUUAUAUGAAUUACUGUAUAAAUUAUUAUAUUUGUAUUAUAUAUAUGAAUAAAAUAUUUAAUAUAUUAUGAAUUCAAAAACUUAUUUAUUAUGUCUUAAAAUAUUUAGUUAAAUAUAUUAAAUGGUCUUUUAUUAAUUUCCUUUUAGAUUUAAAGGGAUCCAUGGGAUAAAGCAUAAAUUUUACACAAAUAUUUAACGCUUUCAUUUGAUUUGACAGUUCAGUAUUUGCACAAUUGAACGAAGCAAGAAAGAGGUUCAUGGAUUUAUGAAGGAAAUAUGGAAUCAGUAUUUAAUAAAGAAAUAAAAAUAAAAACGAAGUACAUUUAAUAUUAUAAAUUCAUUUUCAAUACAUAAUUUACAGCUUAUUUGAAUAAUAUAAAAACAUAGGAGUAUAUUUUUUAUUAAUAAAUAUUAAUGGUUAAUUUUUAAUUUUUUUGAUAGAUUAAAUUUGUCAUUUUUUUAUUAACUACUCAAUUAAUCUUAUAUAUAUAAAAACUACUUAAUAUGUUAGCAUGCGUUAACUAACAUGAUAGUAUUGAUUGUAAAAAUGUGCUUAAAUUUUUUAAAUAAGAUUUUAAAUUUAAUCUUAUAAAUAAAAAAUAUAAAAAAAUUCACUAAAAAUUAUUUAAAUUUGCUGAUAAAAUUAGUUAUCAAUAAAAAAAAUGUGAAUAAACCAUAGUGCACUAAUAAAUUUCCCGGACAGCAUUAAAAACUAAUCUUAAAGAAAUAAAAUAAAAUUCUUUAAAAAAAUAUAGUUUAGUAUAGCUUUUAUUCUCUUUCCACAUAUUAUCACUCAAGACUAAGCCGACUCCAGAGAAUAAACAAUUCUCCUUGUGAACAUUAUCAUUUAUCAAAUAAUUAAGAGAUUUUGCUGUAAUGUAAUCGGAUGACAUUAAAUAAAAGUUGAAAGAGUGUUGUAAAAUCUGUAAAAAUUAAAAAAGUAUUAAUUGUACAAUCUGUAAAUAUUAAAUUCAGUAUUCUGUCGAUUUUCUUUUUGGUGACAUAUUCUGUAAUAUAUGCAACUUACAGAAAGAAACUCACAUAUAUUGUUUAAAUAAAUUACAAAUUAUUAGUACUUACUAUGAAAAUAUGUUAUUUUUAUAUCACUGUUAUUUCUAUCAUAGAGUGUCGCUAAUAAUGACUAUCCUACGAAUACAAGUGAUUUUCCACCCUACUGACCUUGAUAUCCUUAUUUUCGACUAUUAGUUUUUUUAUCCAUAUUUUCCUAUUAGUUUUUUAGGCUAUUAGUUUUAUCUAAUUUAUAUUUCCCGACACAAAAAUCCUUGAAGUAUAUAUUAUUUAAAAGUUAAUAUAUAAAAUAUUUUCAUUGGAAAUUAAAACAAGAUGAAUACUGUCAAUUUUUUUUAACAUUUGAUUCUUUUACUAAUAUCCUAAAAACACAUAAAUGAAUUUCUUAUGUUGAAUUUUUAAUAUAUAUAUAUAUAUAUAUUUGAUAAAAUAUGUGAUUUUUAUUAAUCAAACUGUUAAAUUAUAUUUAUAUAUUAUCAAGAUCGUUUAUGUUAAAUUUUAUCAAAGUUGAACAACAACAACUAAAUAAUUAAAUGAUUAAUAUAUUAAAAUAUUUUGAAAUAUUUAUAUUACAUCAAUUUUAAUUUAUAUAAAUAAAAUAAAAAAUGAAUUUGAAUUAAUAUGAAAUUUUAUAUAUGUGAUUUAUAUGAAAUAAAUUUUUAAUUGAAAGUGAAUUUUAUGAAAAUAUUAUUCAAUUGAAAAUUAUAAAAUAAUAUAAUAGUUGUGAAAGUUACAUCAGUGUAAUUUUUUUUUUUUCAUUAUGUAUAUAUUAUAUAAAAGAAAUUAUUGUGCAUUUUUCUAUUUUUUUAAAGGUACACAAAAUUUAUAGUUAAUGUCAUUUUAAUCAUUUUUUUUAAAUUUUUCAUUAAAAAUAUUAGUGUUAUGUUAACUUUUAAAUUUUAAUAUGGUUUAAUGUAAUUUUUGGUUCAUUAUAUUUUACUGUUAUUUUUACUUCGAUACAUAAAGUUUUAGAAAUUUUAGUUUGAUCUUUUAUAUUUUUAAAAUGUUCAUUUUGAUUUUUUUUAAAAUUUAAAAGUUAACAAAAUAUUAAUGUUUAUAAAAAAUUGAAAAAAAAAUAUAUUUCUAAAACAUAUAGAAUUUAAAUAAAAUUUAAUAUAUUAAAAACUUUUAAUUACGAAAUAAAUCAAAAGUCCCGUUAAGUCCAAAUUAAUUAAUAUGAACCCACCCAUUUAAUUUAAUCUCUGAGAGGUUCACAGAAAAUGUUCUCAUGAUAUGUUCAUGCCAAUUCACCAACCUCAACCCAUAUUAAUUUUAUAAUAUAUAUAUAUAUAUAUAUAUAUAUAUAUAUAUAUAUAUAUAUAUAUAUAUAUAUAUAUAUAUAUAUAUAUAUAUAUAUAUAUAUAUAUAUAUAUAUAUAUUGUUUUGCAUUCACCGACUCCCAACUCAUAUUAACGUUUUUCCUUUGAUUAGUUUAUAAUAUUAAAUAUUUUUUUUGUUUUGCAAUUAAUGAGUGCCUAUACAAUAUUCUCUCUCUUCAAUAAAAUUAUUAAUCAUAUUCAACAAUUAAAUUGAAAAAAUUCAUGGUCAAAUAUUGGAGUGAAAGUUACAUUGUACCAAUUAACCAAGUCUGAGCUAGAUAAGAAAUCUUAAACAAACGUUACCAGAUCUUCAUGCGUUAUAAGCACAACCUUUGACUUCUACAUCCCAAAUUAUUAUACUCACUUCAGCACCAUAGAUUGGCCGUGGAAGAAUUAUACUCUCUGCUUCAAGGUCAAACAAAUAUGGUACCACCAACCAUGUUGUCCACUCAAGAAGGCACGUCGAGGAAUAUGACUCAAUUUGACUCAUCAGUGAUACUCCAUCACCUUGUGAAUCUACAGGUUGGGAGUUCUUCUCAAGGGCCAAGGAACAAUUUGGCUUGUUGUUCAUCCCAAAAAUGUCACAUCUCAUUGGUAUUAGAGGGAAUACUUGAUGAAAAAUACAUAGAAGAAUGUCUAAUCCCAUCCAAAAUAUUGUCGCACAAACAUGAGCCCUAUGCAAUGUACGUGCCAUCUAUGGUAAUUUACUUCUUACAAUAAUAAUAUACUCAAUUUUAUUUUUCCAAUCGUGAAAUUUUGUGGCAGGAAUGAGAAUGAUCGAAGACAACAUGGAGGGCAUCGUAGUUUGAGUGAAAUAAUUCGUAGAGGGAAGAGUGUAUAUCGAGGAGUAAUCAAGUAUAUGAUUCUAUUUGAAAUUAAGCUAUUGCUUACGUUUGUGUUCCAAUUUUUUGUGACCUUAAUGAGAGGUAAAAUUAAUUUUGAUUGAUUAUAUAGGUGCAACUACCAGCGUUUCGAAGCAUUUGUGUGGGAUAACUCCGAUCCAGGGAAGAGAGGAAGACCAGGUUGAAAUAGCCUUUAUCAAAAUAUAAAAAGCUUUUCAAUUCUCCAUUUAUUUGCUACCUAAAACUACUCACUAACUUGACUUUAUUAACUUUUACUUGUAUAUAUUCCUGGAUCUUCUUCAACUAUUGCAGUUUAUGUGGGUAAGUACACAUUUUUUUUUUGACAGAAAAGUACACAGGUUUUUUCUAUUCCAAAUGCUGCUUAUAUUAAUGUUAAUAGCCGAAGAUAAAAUCAUGGUUUUCCUCACAAUUGAAAAACACAUAUGUAGGAUUUUCCAUGUGAAUCUUUCUUUUCUUGUUUUGUUUUUCAUUGAUACUAAUUGGAUUUUUUUUUUCUUCGUCUGAGUUGGCAGGUGCUUAUUCUACUGAAGUUGACGCCGCCAAAGCCCAUGAUUUAGUGUCGGUGAAGAUUGGGGGCUUAAAUGCAUUAACGAAUUUUCCUGUAUGUCAUCGUAGAUAGAUUUAUGAAUUUCAUUGCAAAAACAUUUUGUGGCGGAUUUUGAUUUAAUUAUUAUUAAUUACUUUAAUUCCAUCUCAUAAACAUACUGUUCUUCGUAGGUGAGAUGCUAUUCGAAGGAAAUGGACGAGAUGCGAUGGAUGAGCACAAGGGAUUAUAUUUCAGCUGUUAGAUGGUAAGAUGUGAAUUGUGUGUAUGUGUUAUUAUAUGUGUAUCAUGUGCUUUACAUGUAUAUAUGCGUAGUUGCAUUAAGUUACAUUAUUAAUCAUGUGUUAGUUGCAUAUAAAUACUUAACAAAAUCCGAGUAAUGUGUAAGAUCUACUUGGUAAAUAAAAUUGAUCAACAUGACUUAUUUAGUGAGUCGUAUCAUUCAAGAAAGAAGUUCUAUAAAAUUAAAAUUAUAUAUAAUAAAUUUAUGUAACUUCAACAAGUUAAAACUAUUGACAGUAUUUCUUAUUUUUCAAACUAACUAUGCAAAAUUGGUUCUUAUCAAAAUAAGAUUUUAAUUUGUUCUUGUGAUGCAUAGCAUUAAAGGAAAUUACUGAUAAAUACUGUUAUCAAAUUAACAUUUGCAAUUAUAAUAAAACAGACUUAUAUUUUAACUAAAAAAUUCUCUUAUCAAGAAUCAUAUGUAUCACGACAUUAUUAAUUUCUGAUAUAAUAAGCUGUAAGACAUUCCUAAUCUUUGAUCCAGGACAAUAAAAAUAAAUGUUAUUAACCAUUUUUCUUUUUUAAAAUGUUGAACCAUUGGUAUGAGUUCAUAAUUAAGAUAAAGAAAGUAGUCAUUGAUUCCAUGAAAACUUGACAAAAUUUCAGGACGGGCAAGGACUAUAGUGACGGUGACUCUCCUUACCGUGGCGUCUACAGGUUUGCAUUUUCUCUUCUUUCUCUCUUUCAUUAAUUUAUUAUUAUUAUUCUUCUUCUCUCUUUCACUUUCUCUCUCUCAUUCCUAUCAGAUCAUACAUGGUCCCAAUAGGCAAGAAAUGGGAAGCGAGGCUGGGUCGUGAGGGUUCACCAAACUUGCACUUGGGAACUUAUUGUGAGUUCAUAUUCCAACUCUUCCAAUUCAUUUUCUAAUUUAUGGCAUGCACACAGUGAAUAGUAUUUAAUUAGCAUCAACAUGUAUAAUGUAUGUCAACUAUAUGUUAGUUAUUAAUGUACAUAAUCAAUGGAAUAUGUUUGCACAUUGUAGUAAAAUAUAUCAUAUGUUGGCCUUAGUUUAAUGUAAGACAUAUGUUUCUCUACUUCAGACACUCCGGAGGAUGCAGCCAGAGCUUUUGAUAUUAUUUCAAUAAAAAUAAAGGGAAGGGACGCCAUUACCAAUUCCGAUUUGAACAGUUAUGAGGUGGAUGGCAUUAUGAAGAGCCAAAUUACAACAGCAAUGGAUGGGUCGAUUACUUUGAAGGUAGAUGGAGUCGACAACGAAACUGAAGCAUAUCCCCCUCAAACUCAAAGCGUAUUCCAGCACAAUCAUCAACAAUUCAUCAACUCAUCAUCCUUUUCUCGUCGCUAUCAAAACCACAAUCUCUUUUCAAGCAACCCUUAUGCUCUUGGUGGUUUUAUUGGCGGUGUUGGAAGUAGUGGCAGUGGCAAUGCAUAUGGCAAUUCAAUUGUUAACCUUGCAGCACAGACUGCACAGUUUACAAAUCAGAAUGAUACACUGCAACAGCCACUUCAGACUCAGCAGAGCCAAGUGAAUGUUAACAAUUUCAAUCAGAAUAUACGCAGCAACAACAUCAACAACAACAACAAACAGUUUCUGUCUCAGGAUUCUAACCGUUCUGUGCUUUCUCAUGCCCCCCAAAAUCUUAAUUUGGAUAAGUGUGUCCCUUUCCCUGAUUGGCCAUCUGGUUUUGGCUUGCUAGGGGGGAACUUGGAAUUGGAACCUUUAAGAAAUAUUAAUUCCCUGAAUGUGCAACCUCUAGAACAAGUCAUGGUGAAUGAAAGUACAGGAGCAACAAACGGUGUUUCUUCAUUAGGGACACAAAUCCAACCAGUGGAACCAUCUAAUCAGGAAUUUGGAGCUACACAGCUACCGUUUCUUGAAGUGAACCAAAGUUUUGAGCCUUACAACUUCCAAGCCAAUACUUUGAACCAGAUACCACAUGGGAACUUAAACUCCAGCCUUUCUGAUAGUUUUCAGAACCCUAGUUCUGAAACAAACAACAAUGGUUCCCCAGGUGAGACCAGUGGAUGUCCAAUUGAUUUGGACAUGAGAGAUUAUCUCAACAGAUCUUAUAUAGAAGACAAAGAUUUUGCUUGUGAUUUUGACAUGUUUGGAGCAUUAGUGAAUGAGGAUAGACAAGGCCUCUAGUACUGCUACUAACUGCAGGCUUAGUUUAUAUAAUAAGAACAUGUUAGUUUUCAUUAGUCAUUCAAAGCAUGGUGCAACUUUGGCUCAAAUAAUGAGGUUUGAAUAGGUGAAUAUGAUUUAGAAUUAGUCUUGAGUCAAGUUUCUCAAAACUCAGAUUUUUGUAACCUAUGAUUGAGACUUGUGAUGAUAGACGAAUCCGGCUAGAUGGUUAAUUUUAUCUUAUCUUAAUAAAUUUGGAUUGUGAACAUUGUUGUUUUCAAGAGUCUCGUGAAAUUAGGUUCAAUUUGAAAAUUUCUGAAUUAAUUAAUAAUUUAAUUAUCGUCUUAAUCUCUAUAUUUAGAAGUGUAUUUUUUUUAGUCUCUAAAAUUUAAAAUAUUUUUUUAAUUUUUGAAUUUUGAAAAUUAUUUUUUAAUCCUUUUGAUAUAUUGAUAUUUUAUGAUGAUUUUUAAACACUUUGUAAUAGUAUUCAAAUGUAAAUCUAAGGGACUAAAUUGCUUCUCCCUAAUUAGGAGCAUAAUUGCUUCUCGUUCAUUUAGAUAUUGGCAACAAAAUUUUGGUAAAUCUGCGAAUGGAUUCAUAGGUAUAUGAAUGGCUAACUAUUGUAGUGAAGUUAUAAUUAAAAAUAAAAUAUAUCAUAGAUAUAUAAUUUAUAUCGAGGUAGUUUAUUAAAUAUAUAGUUAUUAAAUUUUUCUGAUCAGGAAAAAAAAUAGUAAGAUCUAAAAUAAAUUUUGAUAGACACUUUUUUUUUAUUUUAAAUGAGAGUUAUAUAUUGAAUAUUUUUAUCAACAUAUAUGAUUUUUUACUUUAUAAAAGUUAAUAACAAAUAAAUAAUUUGUUUGUUGAUGGAUCUAAAACUUGAGAGUCUUUAUCCUUAAGCCGACCUGCCUAUCUUAAGGGCGUAUUAGAUGAAGCAAAGAUCACUGCAGGGUCUAUGACACAGCUCACCAAUUUCAUUAGCCAAAUUGAUUAUCUCUCAAAAUGAAAUAUAUUGGGAUGGGGAUUUUCUUCACCAACUGGCUUCUGUUAUUUUUUCUGAUGUACUGCAUAUUUCAGUUGAAUAAAGCCCAAUUCAUUUCUAAAAAAUAUCUCAAAUAUGUUAAUAUUAUUUUUUAUAAUGUUGGUAAAAUAAAAAUAUUAUUAUCCGUUGCUUUUAAUGUCAUUCAAGCAUUUAUACGUAUUUUUAUAGAUCCUUUAAAUAUGUAAAUAAUCUAAUUAUGGAUCUUAUCAACAAUAUGAUUUAUAUAGAAGUGGAUAUGUGCUACUACUCCAAAGAUGUAAUGUUGAUAAUUUUCAUCUCCCACUAUUUACUUACAAUUUUGUAUAAAUACUUAGUCAAUCAUGUCUACUUAUGAUUUAUAGUCAAUGUUGAUUUAUCGUUGAUUUGUAGACAAUCAUGCAUCGCAAAUCUCAAUAUAUGUAUAUUAUAUUAAUUUGAAUUUUAUAUUUAAAAUAUACUUAACAAAUUAAUUUUUAAAAUGAUAAUAUAUAUAUAUAUAUAUAUAUAUAUAUAUAUAUAUAAUUACACACAGAGUCAUUUAAAAAUGUAUAUGCUUAAUCUACAUAUAUUAUCAUUAAAUUUAUUAAAUUAAAUAAAUAUAUUAAUUUAUUAGCAUCCAACACCUACUCUUAAUCCAUAUCAUUAUAAAAUCUGGUUAAUAAAGUAACAGUGUUACCCCACUUGUUAUCGGUUUUUCUCUCUGUCAUUUUUAUUUAUGUUAUUAAUGUAUUUCUUUAUUUUUUUAUUAUCUAAAAUUCAAGGGUACGGUAAAAGUUGUGCCACGUGAUCUGAAGGCAAUAGAUGUGUUUUUUGGAUUAUAAUUAGAAAAGUUGAUUUAAGUUGAAGUUAACUUUUUAAACUAAAAUUGAGUGAAAAGUAAGUUAAAUAUAAGUUGAUUGUGGUUUGAUACGUGUAUUUCAAAAAUAUUUUUAUCAUAAUUAAACUUGUUUGGAUAGUAAUAAUAAAAAUGACGUUCAAAUGUGUAAUGAAUAAAAUGAACAUAAAUUUAAUUUAAUUUAAUUUAUUAUUUAAAGUAAAUUAUUAUUAUUAUUAUUAUAAGACUCCAUUUCUUCCAUUGCUAGAAAAUGACAAAGGCCACACUCACCGUCCUCCUUGAAGAAUGGAACCCAGCCACAACACACUAACAAAAUGAUGGUAACGAUGGUACUCUUUGUAAACAAAAUUUCCGUUGGAAACCGAUAUUAAAAAGAAAAGAAUCACCCUAUAAAUUAAAGGCUCUUUCUCCCUUAUAUAUACACCUACGCAAAACUGCAAGGGGCAAUGUUGUCUUUUACAGAAUUACAGCAUGUUGAAGCUUAAAAUCUAAAAUUAAUGUCUUUGGACAAGAAUCACGUCCAACUCAACGGGAAACAAAAUUUGCCAAACAACUUGGUCCACCAUUCCAUCAAGCCUCAACGGACGUUUGGAAAUACACCCUAAGUCUCCAAAUACUUUACGCAUGUUUGCUCUCGAAGCUUCACCUACGUUUUCACUGAAUCAUAAAAAAUAACAUAUUUAACCAUGUGAUUAUUUGACUGAAUCAUAAAAAUAAUUUAUCUUUAUUUUCACAAUUCAUAAUUGUUUUCAUUAUUAUAAAUAAUGAUUUUUUUAACAUUUCAAUUAUUUAUUAUAAAUUAAAAUAAUAAUAAAUUAUUAUUAUAAAAAUUAAAAUUAUGUAUUAUCAAUAUCAGCAUAAAAAUAAGUUAUAAAUAUAAUAAAGAUUCAUUGCUCAGAAUUUGUUGACUAAAUUCUAAUUUUGAUUUCUUUUAAUUCUUAAUUUGCUGUGAUUUUUGGUCUUCUUUUUUUAAAAAAUUAUAAUUUUGAUUUAACUUUUAAUUUUGUGAUAAAAUAAUAUAUACAGAUUUGAGAUUGAUUCAAAAUUGUGGAUUUUUUGAAAUAAGAGAAUCCAAAUUGCAGAAAAAUCAAAAUUACAGAUUAAGAAUUAUGAGAAAAAAUUUAGUCAAAUUUUACUUGAUUAAUUAACAUAUUAUAUCAAGCAUUAACUUCUUUUUUUUUUGUAAAAUUAAUCUUUUAUUUUACUUUCUUAAAGAAUAUUUAAAACAAUAAUCAAAAUACAUAUAUUUAGAUAUUAAAUUAUGUGAUAAUUAAUUUUUUAUUAAUUAGUUAUUAUAUAUUUUUUAGUAAUUUUUAAUAUGAAAAUUCAUAAUUAAAAGAAUAUGUAUUACAUUUAAUACAUCUAUAAUAUAUACAGAGAGAGAGAAAAGAGGGGAAGAAUACUCACUAUUCACAAAUUUGUCUUUAGUUACAGGUUAUAAACUACAAUUUUGAUUUUCCUUAAGUCUCUAAUUUUCGUCUUUUGUUUUUUUUCAUAAUUUUAGUUAAAUCUUUAAUUUUUUAUGUUUAUUUUUUUUAAUUUCAUCCAAUUAAACUUUAAAUUUAACAUAUUUAUUUGAGGUACUAUAAAAAAUAAUUUAUUUGAUUAAAAUGUUAAAAAUAAAAAAUAAACAUAUUAAAUUAAGGAUAAAACUUUUUCAUUUCUUAACUCUUCAAUUCAUUAAUUUAAAUUUCGGUCAAGAGAUAAAAAAAAUCUAAUAGUAAAUUAUUUUGCUUAAACAUCAAACUUAAAUAAUAUCUAAAUAAUUCAAUCUUAAUUUUAAUAUUAAUUAUUUAUAUUUAAUCAUUUAUUGGACUUUAUAUGCAUAAACAAAAGAUUCUUAUUGGAUUUUUUUCAUUGAAGUUCACAAGUGGUCAUUCGACUGAAAUUGACGCCGCUAGAGUUCAUAAUCUGGUUUCAAUUAAGAUAGGGACUUAACUACAUGGACAUUGUUUUUUCUGCAGAUUAAUAUCGUGAAUAGAUUCAUGAAUUUCAUCAGUAAAAAAAAAUUAUGAAUUGUCGUAAAUUUUGAUUUAAUUAUUAUUAAUUAAUUGAGUUCCAUCUCAUAAGCAUACUAUUAUUCAUCGGUGAGAAAUCAACCAAAUGCAAAGUAUGAGCAAAAUCAGUUAUAGUUUUACUGUUAGAAGGUAAGAUGUGAAUUCUUUUUAUAUGUUUUUUUAAUAUUUGUUUUUAUAUGUUAUAUCUUCUUAUAGUAUUCUUAUGUAAGGAUACUAUCAUGUAAGGCCUUCAGACACCCUUUUAUAAAAAAAAUUAUCCUUAUGUAAUAUUCUUAUGAUACUUUGUAGAAAAAUUAACAAAUAAAAAAUAAUAUAUUUUGUUUAAUAAAAUUUUCUCUCUUUUGAUCCGUGAAUAAAUUUCCGUAUUAUAAGAGAAGAAAAUAAAAAAAAAAACAAGUAAAAAAUAAAAAAAAAAACAAGUUUUUCCCGCAAGUUAAAUUAACUUGUGCACUUGAUUGUUAAAGAAGUUCUUUUAUCCAACUUUUAUAAAAGUCAUAGUGCAUAGCUAGAUUUUAGCUUAAAGAAAAACUUUAAUUUAUUUUAUCUUUUUAUUUUUUUUCUAUAAUUGUUUAUAUAGAAAUUUAUUUAAAUAGAUCAUGUUUAAUAUCUUGAAAACAUAACCAAUCUUCUUUUAUUUAAUAAAUAAGAUAAUUUAUAGAAAGAUAUGAUAGGAGGAAGAAAGAUUUUCUUAUAUUAUUUUUUUGUUUUGGAGAGUUGUUCCUUUUUUACCGCUUGUUUUGGAGAGUUAAACUUUGAAUUAUAAUCAUUAACAUAUGAAUUACUUUGAGGAAAAAUGACACAUUUCGUAAAAAAAAAAAAAUAUUUUGGAGAGUUAAAACUUUGAAUUAUAAUCAUUGACAUGCUAACUACUUUCAAGAGAAAAGGCACAUUUUGUAAAAAAAAAAUGUUUUGAAGAGUUAAAACUUUGAAUUAUAAUCAUUGAUAUAAUAACUACUUUAAAAAAACGACACAUUUCGUAAAAAAAAAUAAUGUUUUGGAGAGUUAAAACUUUAAAUUAUAAUCAUUGACAUAUUUACUAACUAACAACACAUCUCAUAAGAAAAAAUAAUGUUUUGGAGAGUUAAAACUUUAAAAUAUAAUCACUACAUGUUAACUACUUUUAAGGGAAACUGCACAUUAUGUAUCAGAUACACAUAAUCAUUAAUAUUACUUUAAUUUAAUUUUAGAUAUUAAUUUAUUAUAUAUGAAAUUAAAUUAAGUGAAGGAAAGCCAUGUAGUUCCACUUAUGCAGAGGAUCAAAUCCUACUAUAUAUAUAUAUAUAUAUAUAUAUAUAUAUAUAUAUGUAUAUAUAUAUAUAUAUAUAUAUAUAUAUUAUGCUUGUGUCUUUCCCACCCCAUCCCCAAACACAAACACAAGAGUUCCCCUCACCUGUGAAGUCCAAGUUUUGUUUUGUUUUUGUUUUUGUUUUUUCUGUUUACCCUAAGGUGUGGAAUAAAUUGUUGCUCCUUUGUAUUUGUUUGUUUAGCAUGGACAAGGCAAAUAAUUCUUUAAACAUGUUCAACUAUUGGUAUGAGUUCAUAAUUAAGAUAAAGUUUGUCUCUCUCUCUCUUUGUUAAAUUAAGAUAUAAGACAAUCAUGAUUGCAUGAAAACUUGACAAAAUUUCAGGAGCGGCAAUGGCUAUACUGACAGCGUCUCCCCUUACCUUGGCGUCUAUAGGUUUGCAUUCUCACUUCUCUCUCUCUUCUAUCUGAAACUGCAGGAUCUCGGAGAACAGGAAAUGGGUAGCGAGGCUCGAUCAUGUGGGUCUGCCAACGAUCAUGUGGGUCUGCCAACCUUGCAAUUGGGAUUUUUUUGUGAGUUCAUAUUCCAAGCUAAGUCUUCCAAUUCAUGGCUUACUACUGUGAAUUGUUAAGCAUCAACACAUAUGCAUGUCAACUGUUAGUUAUUAAUAUAGUCUUAAAAUACUUUCUCUCUUUUGCACUUUAUAUUAAUUAAAAUUUAUUAAGAAUUACAAAAUCUUAAAACGGACUCAUUGUAUAAAACAUAUAAUUUAGUCCUACAUGUUGUGAAUUUUCAUUUUAAUCCCUGUACAUAAAAAAAUAUUAAAUCAAUCCUUACAUGUAUAAAUAUGACCGAUUUAAUCCUUAUCAUAUAUGGAUAGUUAACUUGCUUAUGUAUUAUUAAUUUAGUACAUAUACAUUCUUAGUUUAGUUUAGUUCUUAUAUGUGUAGUACAUUCUAAACUUACUCCUUACAUAUUCAUAGCACGCAGGUUCUUAAUUCAUUUUUAUAUGUAUGUUUAGUGUGUUUUUAAUUCAACCCUACAUUAAGGUAUUAAAUUAAGAAUGUGUUAUAUAUAAGGACUAAAUUAAAAAUGUACAAGGGAUUAAUGGUGACUGAGACCAAAUAGAUAAUAGUGUUUACCUAUAUAUGGACCAAAUUGUAUUUUUAACCUUAAAUAAAAGUGAAAUCACUACUAGAAAAGAGACUUUCUACAUCGGUUAUCACGCGUCGUUGUAACCCGGAGUCGUUGAAACACAACGACGGUUAAAUGAUCGAUGUUGAAUUUUGACAUUCUACAUCGGUUAUUAGGACAACCGAUGUAGAAAUCUGCCCAUUUUAAGACGGGCUAGUCUCCAAACCCUUCUUUAAAUGCCAGAUUUCUACAUCGGUUGUCCUGACAAACGAUGUAGAAUGAUCAUCAUUCUACAUCGGGUAUGUACUGAACCGAUGUAGAAUGCUAGACAUUCAACAUCGGUCAUUCUAAUAACCGAUGUAGAAUUCUAGACAAUCAGAGUGAAUGUUACUAGAAUGAAUGUUUUUUAAGCCUAUCAAACAAGUUUAAUUCAAAUGGCACGUCAUAUGUCAACCCUACAGAAUUUACCAGGGCCUUCAACCUUUCUUGUGUCAAAGAAGUAAUUUUAAGACAAAGAUAAGGGAUCCUUGAGAAGAAAGAAAUACAAAAUAAAGAAAAAGAAACGCAACAACAAAAGAAGUCGCCCAAUCCCUCUGCAUCUGUUGGAACGAAAUACAAAAAGAAAAAGAAAAGCAACACCAUAGUACUUGCACCAAAUAGAAGUCAAUCACCUAAGCUUAUCUCAGAUUGCACAUUGUUUCACUCCAACCAGGUUGCACAAAGUACUUGCACCAGAUUGCACAUUGUUGCACAAAAAGAAAAGCAACACCAUAGUACUUGCACCAGAUUGCACAUUGUUGCACAAAAAGAAAAAUAAACCUCCUUAAAAAUACAUGUUUCACUCCAACCAAAUGCAUAGAUUGCUCAUUGUUCAGUCCCUCAAGCUCAUGCAAAGAUGGGAAAUUACAGAUAUUUACAUUCUUUCAAUUUGCAUUCAAACAAACACAAACACACAAUAUAUUAGGUGGAACAAUGUAAUAUUAAUUUGAAUAUUGAUUACAUAUAUACUAUUUUCCAUGAUGAUAUAAUAACUUGCCUUGUGAGAAAUUCCUUUCAGCAAAAAUGCUUGCAUGGUUCCAUUCUUUUCUCUCUUCACAUACUCCAAAUAAUUCGUAUGAAUUAUCCCUAUAACUAGCCUGAAUUUAGUCUUCCAUCUUUUCCCAUGGUGAUACCAUGUCAAGUGCUCGGGCUCCUCUAGAACAACAAUAUCUGCAACUUUGUCAGGGAUAAUCUCCGAAAUAUCCCCAACAGCAAGAAUGCUCCUUUUAUCUCUAGAAAACUGCAUUAUAAGUAUAGAAUAAGUUAGCACAACUGACAUAACAAUAAGGUUUGGAUGAAACAGAAAUAACAGGAUUCUUAAGAGUAAAAGCUGAUAGAUGCUCAAAUCUAUGACCAAAUAGCUUACAUAAAAGCAUAUUGGUAUAUUACCAUUACAUUUAUAAUGGAAGUUUGCAAAUUCCCAUUGAAAACCUCAUUAUCAAAUCCUUUACUAAAAUGACAUUUCUUUCAUUAUGGCUAAACUUAGACUAUGGCCUUUUUUACACAAAAACAGUGAGUUAAAUGAGAGAUAACAUAAGAAACAGAGAAAAUAUUAGACAGAAGCUGAGACUCAAAACUAUUUAGUAGUGAGAAAUUUACAUAAAGUGUAAGCUCUGUAUAGGGCAUCGAUCAAAUACAUCUAAACGAUGCAGUUACCAAGAAUAGACAGACAGUAACCAACAACAGCUAACAGAUCACAUGGUGGCUACAACUAUCAGAACAUUUUACAGUUACAGCACAGUCCUAUAUACUCUAGUAGUCUUCAAUCUUCAUUCGGAAAUGUGCAUAUUUCUGUGUUUUUGGGGGAAAGCUUCCAAUUUUUCCUGUUAAUGGAAAACAUCAACCACAAGAAAUUAUCACCUUUCCAAAGCUUCCAAGACUCUUAAGUCUCAACACAACCUUCUCUGCUUCUCGUUCAUGUCUAAAAAUAGGCAAACCAUGACUUUAAUGUCAAACUGUUAAAUUUUUGUACCCAUCAUUUGUUUAAAUGGAUUCACUAAAAUUGUCCAGGAUGAAAAUCAUCUUCACUAAUCAUAUUCUAAUCUAAAAUUUCAAUUAGAAUAGUGAAAUUUCAUAUUAUAUGACAGACAUUUGUAUUACUGGGCAGAAAACUGGAUAAAAUAUUUGCACAAAAAAUAAGAUGAUAUGGGAAAAGACUUACCACAGACACUAGGAGGAAGAGUACCAAGGCUUAACUCAUCAAAAUCAAUCGCUUUGAUCUGAUACUUCCCAAUGUAUUCAGCAAAUAUAAUAUCGGUUGAGUCGUGCUUCUAAUAAUCUUACAAAUUGCCUAUACAUAAAAACGAAACACCAUUGAAGAAUCGUCCAACAAGAGCACAAACACACCCAUAUGGAAUCACUGAAAUUACAAUAUCGUGUCUAAGAAGGGCCACAUAUCCAACAAAAACUUGUUCAACCAAUCAACCUGAAUAACAUGCAAAAAUAAUAUCAAUAACACAAUAACAUCAUCAUCGUCGUCAUCAUAAACCUUAAAAAAACAAAACAAAACAAAACAAAACGUUUAAUUCACGAAACUAACUCGUUCACCCAGAGAGGAAUCUCGGGCAGAAGUUCUUGCAGAGCAUUUGGGCCUAAUUCACUGAUUGGCCUAACAACAGGGUCCUGCAACAUUGAAGAGAAAGAAAAAAAAAUCAAAUUUUGAUUAUCACCCAGAAUUCAAAACGCAAAAGGGGUGUUAACCCCAACACCAGCAGUCCCUGGAGAGUGAUCAGAAGAAAUGCAUGUGUCUGUGCUGAAAAUUUGAAUAAAACAGAACGAACAUGCAAUGAGUUGUUAUGUUAACCUUGACAUGUUUGGUUUCUGAGUAGACAAAGAGAAAGAACCCAACUAAGAGGCCAAGAGGUAUUCCAACGGCAAAACCAAAAAUCCCCAAGAAACUGCUCACGAACCCCAUAUGCUCUCUAUCCUGAGCAAGCCAUAGCUUGGCGUGUUCCACGCAGCGGUGCAGCGCGUUCUUGUGCGAAAAGCUCGAAUCCGCGGGCCGCGAAACGAGCAACCCUCUCAGUACGGAGAUCGAAUCCAAGUCCUUCUCGCCGAGCAGAUCGGUGACAUCGUCGAUGACGUAGUCGUAGGUCAAGCAGCAGCCACGCUCCUGCGUUCUGGUAAGCAUCAUGGAGCUACGGUGAGGGUGGAGGGCGAGGAUGGAGGGUGAUGGUAGGCUUUUGGGCUCCCUCCCGCAGAGCUAUGAAGCAGCUGAGGCGACAACAAAUGGGAGAAUGAGAGAGAGAGUGGCAUUUACCCGAUAAAGAGAGACAGAGAAAGUGAUAAAUUAUAUUAAUUAAAAAUAAUAAGCAUUUAAGACGGGUUUUCCGAAAACCGCCUUGUUUUGAAAUAUUCCAAGGCGAUUUUCAAAAAUCGUUUUUAAAAUAUUAACCAUAUUUACAACUUUGCCAUUGUGAUAUAAACAAAAACGGUUUUUUAUAACCGACUUAAAUACCCUGUUGUAGAAAACAGUAUUUUUAGUAGUGAAUAUAAUUCCCAAAAUUUACUUUUAAUAAAUUUUAGAGAAUAAUAGUAGAAAGUGCAGUUAAAGAGUAUUAGUAUUGCUCAUAUACAUCACCAAAAAAGUAUGCUUGCACAUUCUACUAGGUAUAUCAUGGUUUACAGAAUAAAACCUGGUUAGUUUUAUAAGUUAUUCUAUAAUAACAAUGGGGUUUGAACAAGUGUAUGUUUUAGAAUUAGUCUCAAGUCAAGUUUCUCAAACAAGGUUUUCUAUU